UUAAGAUUAGGUAAGAAAGUACUAUUGUUUUGUGCUAUAAAUCAUGUACAAUGCAAAUAAAGAAUUCAUGGGUAUUGAUAUGUGUAUUCAGCUUGUGAAAGAAUAAUUCGCAUAACAUUGAAAUGUUAUUUAAUAUGUGUACAUAAGGUUUGUAUAUUUGGUUACUUAAGUAUUAUGUAUACAUGAGAUGUUAUUAGUUGAUUCUUAAGUUGCAUAAAAGAAUAAAUGGAUGUGUGGUUAUUAUGACUAUUAGGUUUGGAAGUUAAUUUAUAUUGCAUUAAAUGUUUAUAUAUGUAUUCGGCAUAGGUGGUUAAUAAUGUUAAUGUAAUUCGUUUAGUUAAUAUGAGUCAAUUAUGAUAAUGAGUUGUUUAUUUGCUUAUGAUUUACUAAGUUGUGGUAGCUUCCUUUGUGUAUUAUGUUACUCUAUUUUAUAGAUUUUGGAAGUCAGCUGCAAGCUCGAGGAUUGACAGCCUAGUUCAUCACACUAUCUACUGCUUUGGUACCUUUAAACUAAAUUUAAAUUAUGGCAUGUAUAGGCUGGUUUUGAGGUUAAAUAUUUUGGAAAUGAAUGUAUAUAUAUUAGCCAUGCGAAAAUGGCUUCACCAUCUUGCUUGGAAUCAGUUAUGAUUGCUUCUGGUUGCGUUUAUUUUAGUUAUGGUAAUUUAUGCUUUAAUAACUAAUAUUUGUGAUAUGUGCUUGGUUGUAUAUCAAAGUUGAUUAAUGGCAUGUGAUAUGAACAUAUUGACUGUGAUAUGUAUGCCUAGGUAUAUUUAAAGGUUUUGAAUUUGAUUCUUGUUAAGUGUAAUUAUGUGAUCAUCCGAUUGGUGUGCUUUAAAAAGGUAUAAUUAAGUAGUUUCAUAUUAAAGACUAAAUAGUUAGACUCGACUGAGAUAAAAAUGCUUUGAUAUGUUAUUACAUAGUAUGCAAGAUCCAUAUUUUGACCAAGCAUAAAUGAGAUGGUUUUAACCAACUUGAUAAUAGAUAUAUGCUUAUGUAUCUAUUCGCGCAUAUAAUGGAUUAACUUAUCUAUGAUAUGGUAUUUUUCCGAGUUAUUACAUUGGGUAAAUAAUGUGGUUUGAAGUAUGCAUGAACGUAAUUCUAUGAAGCAUAUGUGAAUUUUGUUUGCCAUAUCGACUUUAUAGGAUGUGUAUUUUAUCACGCAAGUUGGCUUGAAAUUAGUAAAAGAUGUGCCUUUAUAUUCGACUAGUGAAGGGGGAAACAUAUACAUAUGCUAUGAUAUGAUGUUUGUAGUUCGGUAAAUAAGGGACAAGUUGCUAGUAAAAUGAUUGAGUUACUAUAUGUGCUCAAAAUUGGUUUAAGUCAAUAGUGUGAAAUAUGUUUGGGUUUGGUGGAACAUAGUUGCAUCUCUUAGGUUUGAUUGCUUAUUAAACCAUAAAUGUGACUUGUGAUAAAACCUUAUUCAAAUGUGAUUAAGUGCCUAUAUAUAUAUUCGAAUGGAUGUAUUAACUUAUAUUAAUAUAUGAAAUAUGUAAACUCAUGUUAACUAAUGUAAUCAUGCCGCAUAAAUGAUGUAUUGAAACUUGUUUUGUUUGACAUGUAAUUUGUACAUACGCAAGUCUUUUAUAUUAAAAAGGAAAUAGGUCCAAUGUUAAAUUUAUAAAGUUGUUGGUUAGUUAUAUAUAUUCUGUAUACAUAUAUAGUUUGUUUUGACAUAUGUUGAAUCAUGUUUUAACGAUGUUGUGUUAUGAAUGAUAUGAUUUUAAAUUUGAUAUUAGAUUAAGUUACGAGUAAUAAUGUCAUUAAAAUUUUGAGUUGUAAAUUGUAAUGCAUGAUAAUAUGAACUGUGAUAUGAUCAGUAAUGCCUCAUAGCUCUACUCCGGCGAUGGAUACGAGUUAGGGGUGUUACAGAAAUGGCGCCUACCACAUUGCGAACAUUCCGGUCUAUUUGGCUGAGCACUGCCGACACUCGCGACGGAGAUGGUCUGGGCCCUAGAAGCCGUGUUCUACUGGUUCUUGUUUCUGUUUGAGAACCCUACCGAAGUAUUUGAUCGGGUAAUGAAUUCCUUAGAUUUCUUAGAUGAGAACUGAUGCGAUUUCCCCAUAUUUCUUUUUCUUGAAUCGUGCGACUCAAUAGCCGCAUUUCUCCUCUCUUUGACCAACUCUUCUGUUUUGCAUGCUCUCCCAACGAGUACCACGAAUUCCCUUAACUCUAAAAUGACCACAAAUACUCGGAUAUAUUUAUUAAGACCAUCCUCAAACCUCUUACACAUGGUGGCUUCUGAGGACACGCACUCUUGUGCAUACUUGCUGAGUUUCACAAACUCACGUUUAUAUUCCAUCACUGUCUUACAGGCUUGCUUCAACUCUAAACAUUCUUUCCUCUUUUGGUCUAUGAACCUCUAGCUAAUAUACUUCUUUUGGUACUCUUCCUGGAAGAAUUCCCAAGUUACUCUUUCUCUCGUUACAAUGGACAUGAGAGUAUUCCACCAUUGGUAGGCCGAGUCUCGUAGGAAUGACACCACACACUUUACGCACUCCUCAUGUGUGCACGAAAGUUCAUCAAGUACCCUGAUGGUAUCCUCCAACCAAAACUCUACUCUCUCUGGGUCGUCAUCUAUGUUAUUCCGGAAUUCCUCUGCCCUUGCUUCUGUAUCUUGUCUACUAGAGGCUUCUUCCUCCUAAACACGUCUGCUCCUUGCGGAGCUACUGGAGCAUAUUGAGGAAUUGGAGGAGGUGGGAGGGGUGGAUUGUUCAGAUUUGCAUGAACAAACUCCGUGUACCAAGCAUCCAUCAUUCAGAGGUAGGCUUCUCUAGCCCCUCCGUCUUAGCCGUUAGUCACGAGCUCACUCUUAACUAGCGCGGUCCCUUCAUUGGGAACUGGCGCGUUACUCUCUACGUCAUCCGCCAUAGCUCUAUCAAGAUCCAUUUACUAUAUGAAAAUACAAUUUAUAAUCGUCAGGAGUCGUCACACUAUCAAUAUAUAGUUAUGGCAUGUAUAGCUAGACUCAUGCUAGGUUAGUCCUAGAACUGACUAAACCAUAGCUCUGAUACCACUAAAUAUAACACUCCACACCUGUACCCCAUGCCAGGAUAGAAUACGAGGUGUUACCCAACUUGAAUGCACACAUUCACACGUUUUCGAAUCACCAAAAUCUGGUCAAAUUUAAAACUUUUCCAUUCUAAAACAAAAACUCCAUAAUAAAAGCCUAUUAGGCUCUAAACGUUCAUUUUAAACCAUUCGAGAAUGAUUCGAGUCUUACCAUGAACCCUGAAAAAUGUUACUAGCCACAGGGGUACAUGCCCGUGUGGGAAGUGUGACAGUCCUAAUUCGACCCUAGUCGGAAUGUGGUUUCGAGGCCACAAGACCGAAUCCCAAAAUUUAUUUAAAAAUUUGGUUGCAUAUCCUCUAUGAGUAUUAGUGCAUGUGUGAAAAUUUGAUGUUUUAAUUUAGACUUAUGAAUGUGAAUUUCAUGUGAUUGACUUAGUUGAGAACUUAAGAAAAUAUGAUAAGGGGAUAUGUAAGGACCAAAUAAUAACAAAGUGAGGAAACUUGGGUUUGCAUGUCAAAUUGCCCAAAAAGCCCAAGUAGUGGCCGGCCAAGCCAUGAUGCCCAUCCACUAGGUUGAAUUUCAAUGCAAUUCUUUUAUUAGUUAGCAAUUAAAAUAAAUUAAAGAAAGGAAUUAAAAAGAAAAAAUGAAUAAAAUAAGGAAGGAAGAGGGAGUAUGCAUCUUCUUUCUUUUCUUGCAAUUGCCGUGAGUUAGGAGAAGGAAAGAAGAAAUGCUCUAGACAUUUGGCCAACUCAAAAGGGGUUGAUUAAGGUAGGAUUUAUGUUACUUUUACUAAAUUCUUGUGAAAAUCUAGUUAGUAGCCAAUGUCUUAUUACAACCCAUAUGUUAAUUUUCUACCUAAAAGGGUACUUAGAUGGCAUAUGGUUAGGAAGAGGUAAAUGCUAAGUGUAUGGUGCUUUUGAUGUUGUGAAUGGAAGUAGUGGAAAAGUAAAAGAAAAUUUAUGUAGAAAUGUGGUAUAUGUGGAUUUAUAGGAUGUUACAAAUAGAUGUGAAGCCAUGCUAGAUUAGGAAAAAUUCGGUCAAGUGUUCAUGAGAUGAAAUUUUGUGUUUAGGUGAAUUAAAGAUGAUAGUAUAGUUGAUAUCAUAUAUAUAUGUAUGCAUAUUCGGCCAUCAAAUUAAGAGCAUAGGUGAUGUUGAGUCUAAGCUUUGCACAUUCGGCCAUAUAUAUAUAUAUGCAUGUGUGAUUGGAUUAUAGAUAUUAGGGCGAUAGCAUAUGGUUAUUAGCCGAAUAGCUCAAAAACAUAUGGUAGGAAGAUAAGAAUUAGUCAUGUAUCUCCUAUGAUAUGAAAUCAUUAAUAUUUUGAUAUAAAUAUUUAGCAAGACGGUUAAACUAGUUAAUUUGUUGAUUAAGCUCAAGAAGUUAAAGGAGGAGAAUCAAGCAAAGGCAAAGGAAAGAACAUCGAGUAGCCGAGUUGGAACCGUUUUACCCAACACAAGGUAAGUUAUUAAGCAUAUAUAUUUUGUAUUGAUUUAAAUAAUCAUAAUACUUAUGUACUUAUGCCGAAUGGGAUGAUAUAUAAAUGCAUGUAGUGACAAAAUUAUCGAUUGUAAAAAGAAGUGAGAUGUAUUGAGUUGUUGAUUUCGGCACUAAGUGUGCGGGUAUAAACAUUACGAUAAUGAGAUUGGCACUAAGUGUGCGAGUUUAAUUGUAUAGCACUAAGUGUGCGAGUUUGACUAUUAAGCACUAAGUGUGCGGACUUACUAUAUAUUUUCGAAUAAUUAUUAACGUUAAGUGUGCGACUUUAUCGAGUAAAUCAUGGACAGCGGAAUGAGUAGAUAUUUUGAGUUCAUAAGGAAUAGAUGUUAUGUUUAUAUUUGGAACUGAGCUUGGUAAGUCUUGAACCUAUGUGGUGAUUAUAUUUGAAGUUAGGAACAUAAGAUUAUUGUGGAGUAGAUGAAAUGCUAUUAUUAGUAUAAUCUAAACGAAAAUAAAAUGAGGUGUGGAAAUGCAUCAAAUAUCAUAUCGAAUAUCAUACGAGAUGUCAAUGGAGGCUUGGCUAGUUGAGAGCAUGUAAUGAUAAAUGUGCGUGAAAUUAUAGCAUAGUCGGUAUGGAUGGAGUACCUAAUCUUGCAUUAUUUGUUUUCUUUUAUGAUAUUUUAUAAAUGGACAGCAGUGUAAUGCUUAUGACUUACUGAGUUAUAUACUCAUUCGGUGUGUUUAUUUGUCACUUAUUUAGGUUCCUUUGAUCCAUUUUUGUGUGCUCGGGACCAUCGUCGAAGUCAUCACACCAGCUUGCAACUUUUUGGUAUCUUCUUCUUAGUUGGUCUAAGAGAACAUUUCGGCAUGUAUAGGCUAUUAUGUUUUUUUUGAACUUUGGUAUGUAUACUUUUAGCCAUGCGAAAAUGGCAUAAAUGUUAAGUUGGAUUUGGUCUUAUGAUACUUAGUUAUAAGCAAUAGUUAAAGUCUAUUUGAUUAUUAUGCCAUUUGUCAAGGCUAAUCAUUUCCGGUGUUACACUCACGAUAUGGUUAUCGAGUAGUAAGGAAAUGCUUGGUAAUGAUUAGCCUUUGGUAUGGCUAGUCAUGAUCAUACUUGGUGAUAUGUUUGUUAAAUUACUCUAAUAGGUAAAAUUUACUCUAAUAAUAGAUGCAGACAGCAGUAGUGAUGUGAAAUUGAAAAAUCACUAAAAAUAGUAUAAAUUGAAUUAAAUAAUGAGUAAAUUAUGGAAUCUAAUCUUGAUGAGUCUAUUUUCACAUGGAAGAAGUAAAACAAGAAUAUGAGCUAUAUUGUAUGAGAUAUUUAAAAUCUCGUGAAACAGGGUCAGAUUGAUUUCUAGAUCCCCUAUUCUGAAUUUGAAAAUUCACCAUAAUUUCUACAAAGAUAAUUAGAAGUCAUACCUUAUAUGUAAAGAUUCCUUAUUGAGUCUAGUUUUAUUAGGGACAAACGACAUAGUCAUUGAAUCUCUGUACAGAGAGAUAUCUGGUUUGUAAUACACAGAGGUCAGAGUAGUUGAACCCUGAAAUAGGGGAGACUUUAACUAAUAAACUGUACUAAUUGGACGGACCAAAAAUUGUGGAAAAAUUUUAGUAGAUAGAUAUAUGAGUCUAGUUUUAGGAAAAAUUCGUGGAAUUAAAUUUUGAUUUUAAGAACUCAAGAUACGAAUUUUUAAGUUACUAUAACGCAGAUUGACAGUUUGCCUGGGAGUUUUAAAAUAAUUGUUUGAGUUGUAUAAGUGAUGAAUUAAGCCAGAUUACACCUCGUGUUCGAUCCCGGUGACGGCCACGGUUUCGGGGUGUUACAGGAAGGACAACACCCUCGUGUGACCAAUUCAAUAUGGUCGUGUUGUUGGCCCGUGUGGCUCACACGACCUAAACAAUAUAGGGACAUACCCGUGUCCUCUACCCAUGUAAAAUUAAUUCUAAAUUCGCACCUACAGGGGUUUUCACACGGCCUGGCACACACCCGUGUCCUUCCCACGGCCAUGACACGCCCGUGUGUAAAAACAUGGACAUUCUAUUUUUGAUGUCAGCAAUCCUUAAGGGUCACACGACCAAGGUACACGCCCGUGUGCUAGUCUGUGCCCUUCACACAGCUGAGAGACAUGGUCGUUCUCUGCCCGUAUGUUUACUAUCAUGCAUACUGACUUACAAAAUUUACGUGCAGGGACACACGGCCGGAAAACACGCUUAUGGGCACAUCACAGAGCCAAAAUAGUCAGAAUGGACAACAUUUCAAUUGUGUAAUUUACUCAUCCAUGAAAAUAUCAUCUUUUAUUAAUAAAUCAAAGUGAGUAUUGACCAUUAUCCAUGGCCUUAUACAAAAUAAAGGGAUCUAUCCCAAGCCAACACAUUUAGCUAAUUUCUUAAUGACACAAAAUAUUAAAGUCUAAGCCCUAUACAUGCCAUACUUAAAAACAAAUAAUCUGACUAUACCGAGUGCUUCUAAUGAUAGCGUGAUCGUAGUCUCUGACGUCUGAUGAUCAUUGAGCUAUUUAAGCAACUCUAUAAGAAAAUGGAAAAGAGAGGAAGUAAGCAUAAUGUAAUGCCCUAAUUUCUUAAAUCCCAAAAUCUCGGUUAAAAUUAAUUUUAUAUGGCUUGGUGGUCGUUGGUUUUGGAAGAGUCUAGGAAGUCGUGGGUUUAAGCCUAGACUUGAGAAAAAUUUUAUUCCUAAUUGAAUAAACCCUUGACUUCUGAUGAUAGGCCUCUUAAGUUAAUGUGAGGGUUGCGUGUCAUAAAAAGCCUUCUAGUGUGGUGGUAUGUGGCGUGUUGGGUUGCUUAAUGGUAUUGAGUUUAAGUCCUCCUACGCGCAAAUGUGUUCUAUUUUGCUGCUCUGGCCAAGUAAGACUUUUUGGUUGACUGAAACUCUGAAAGGUAAGUGGUUGAGUAGAGAGUGAAUAGCUGAUUUUGAGGAGUGGGUGGGGCAAUUAGAUAGGGGAGUUGGAGGUUGAGAGAUAUGGGGAGAGUUUUGAGGAGGAAAAUAAAGUGGUUUUGGGAAGAGUGGGAUUGUGGUGCCAAAAGUGGAAGUGUUGUUUGGUAGGUGGAGUUUCAUUUGGUAAAUUCGGUGAAGAGAUCAUUUGGGUUUUUCUCUCCUUAUUGCCGAUUAUCGCUUCUGGCUUUUCUACUCUAUUUUGUUUCUUUUCGUGACUCUCUCUAAGUAUUAUACCAUUUGCUUCUCCUCUUUUCCUCAAGCUUGGCCGAACUACUCUACUCUCUUCCCUUAUUUGCUUACUUUCAUCUCUGUUUCCCUACCCAUUGUCGAAUACUCCAUAUCUCUGUCCUUUUUGUUUAAUACCCCUUCGUUGUGAUGGUUCUACCAGAGAGUGAGAUUGUCUACCUCGUGCCUCAAAAUACUCGUUGGUAAGUCUUUGUGUGCUUUUUCUCUAUUGAUUUCUUCUCCUCUUGUCUUAACACCGAUUCUCAUCUCUAUUUUUUUCUUUCACUUGGUCAUUGUGAUACAUCGGGUAUUAGUACUGCUCGUGGGGUGAAGAGUUUUACUAGUAUUCCAGAAGCAACCGAAACCUCCUGUCAUCUCUUGUCUAAAGGUAGUAAUAUUUGUUGGUAUGAUAUUGGACUAAAGCAUUUCGGUUUAACGAUUUGAUGUCUUAGUCGAAUGCUUCUUUUCACCCUUGUGAGUUGCGUUUCUUUGGGGAUGCCAUAUUGUUCAACUCUUGUGGGUAAGCAGUAUGAUUAAUAGCUUCGUUUACCCUAUAGAUUAGCAUCAAGAAGUCCAUUAUCAACCCUCGUCGGUGAACUAAGUAGGCUAAACUCACACUCGAUCAAGCAAAGCGGCAAUAGGUAUUCCUUGAAUAAGUUUUCGGUUAGAGUUCUUUCGACUUGUGUGUUAGAUUUAACUGAAGUUGCUAUGAUAUUAGGUUGGAGUGCUCGAGUGCUAUUUUGCUAGUUUUCGCAACCAGGUGUGUGCAUUUACACUGCUAUUAACAUAGAUCAGCGAAAUGCCGAAAAAUUGAAAAGUGGGCUGUGGACAUCACAUUGGCAUGAGGCCGUCCGUGGGGCAGCCCAAGUAGUAAAAUGAGACCGUGUGGUCGACGAAAUGGCCAUGAACGAUUUCAUGGACCGAAUCGGUAUUGGGCCAAUUUGGGCCGGAAUGGUGUUGUAUGGGCCCAAUGGGCCCAUGGGCCCUACAUGGAAAAAUCACACAAAGUGUGGUAAGUUGUGGGCCAAGCUGUGUAAACUACACGGCUAAGGCAAAUUAUGGGCUUUGUGGGCCAUACGAGAGUACGGGCCCACAUGGGUGCUAUAUAGGCUAUAAGCCCAUAGUCACUGAUUGACUAUUAAGGUUGCACAGGUCGCCUAAGACGAUUGUGGACCUACUGUUGGGUCGGUAAGUUCUUAGACCCAUACUAAUGAAAUGAUCAUUAUACCCCUGUAUGGUAAAGAAACUGAAUUACCUCUAUAUUAUGUAUGAUUGUAUUUGAGCAUGACAUUUCUGCAUACACGUAUGAUACUAUGUUGCAUUACAUUGGGUGGGAUAUAUGUUUUGGAGGAAGUGUACUAAAAGGCUACAACCUUAUUACUGGCAGCUCUACUCCAAAUAUUGCUUAGUACCGACUGCGGUACGUUUUGGUGUGUAGGGCUGGGUGGGUCGACUUUGUCCCCACAUAGUGUGUAGGGCUGGUACGGAGUUGGUGUGUAGCGGAUGGAUUGGGUAGGAUUCUUUUCUGCAUACUGUGCUGAUAUGGGCUAAGGUCCAGACUAUUUUUAUCACCAAAAUGGGCUAAGGCCUAAAUUGCUACUGUUACUGGAAAGGGGGUUAAUGCCCUAACUGAAACUAAAAGGGCUUAGGCCCCGUUUACAUUACUCUGAUUGUUUGUUAUUUUGGGUUUUCGCACACUGAGUUUCAUAAACUAACCCAUCUGACAUCUGUGUAGGAAAUUCCCAAGCUUAGAUAGAUCAAGGCGGUGGAGGACUCACAGGUGGCCACUCGACCUAGUUAUUUCUUUUCAUAUUAUUGAGAUUUUAUAUUGGGUUUUUAUUAUGUAAAAAGGCUACUUUAAUUUUUACUUAAUUUGGGAUAUUUAAUUAUCCUAUUUUUAUAUUACACCUGUUAGUAAUAGGACGCUGAUUUCCGUGAGAAUAUAAACAAAUCUUUUUUUCUGAAAACAUCACGCUCACGCAACACGUUUAAAAAUCUUCCGUAACAAACAAGGUUUUUUCAAGUUAAUAAUAAAAUGGUUUAAAGUUAGUAAUACGUUAGCUUAUAAUCUUUCUUUUACAAAUCUAAAGUAGUGGUUAACAAGAACGGAUCUUUCAACGGUAAAUGUUUUGGAAAACACUCCAAUGUGACAUCGUACAUUUGGCCACAACGUCUAGGCUGGGUUUGGGGUGUUACACAUAAAGCUUAGUAAGUUGCAUGCAAUAAAUAUAACAACAACUUUACCAUUCAUCAUCAUGAUCAUAGUACUAAAGUGGGCAUAAGCACAACUUACUCAUAAAUAACUAAUGCAAUUCACAUAGCAUAUAUAUAUUGAGCUCACGUCUCAUACACUUCAAAUAGGUACCUAUACCAUUCACAACCUGGUUAUGUUUUUCUCGUUUAACUGAAAUUGUAACUCUCACCGUUGGACCAUUUGGUAUGCUAUCAGAUAUUCAUUAAGCCUCAAACAUAAGGUAUAAUGCCGAUGCCAUGUUCCAGAUAUGGUCUUACACUGACUCAUCCAUUAAGUCAAUGCCAAGUCCCAGACAUGGUCUUACACUGACUAUCGAGAUCGAGAUCAACACAAUGUCCCAGAUAUGGUCUUACACUGGCUCUCAUCUCUCCGUGCUGAUGCCAUGUCCCAGACAUGGUCUUACACUAACACAUCUCGUAGUCAAUGCAUGUCCCCAACAUGUCUUAUGCUGGCUUACGUCGCGAGGCUGAUGCAUGUCCCAGACAUGUCUUACACUAGCUCUCGUUUCAAUGCCAAUGCCAUGUCCCAGACAUGGUCUUACAAUGCCUCUCAUAAUGUGGUCGAUGCAUGUCCCGGACAUGUCUUACACUAGCGCACAAAUGACCCAAAUGUCAUGGCGUGAAUAUGCGAUUUGUUCCUAAGGUUCUUACGAGUGUUCUACUAUCUCAAAAUUCGCCAUUCAUAAUCAUUUCCACAAACAAGCAAUUUAUGCUAUAUCAAUUCAAACACAUAUAAUAACAAUGUAGUUGUAUUAUUUAUAUACAACUUACCUCAGUUACAAAAUAUGGUGUCAAGUCGGUCUAAUCAAUUUGCUUGGCUUUCCCCCAGUCUAAGUUCAGAGUUUGAAUUUUUUGAUCUAUAAUAACAAAAAUUCACAAAUUUAAUCACUUUGUCAAUCUAGGAACUCAAUAAUCUAUACUUGGGAAAAAUGACUAUUUUGCCCCUAAAAUUUUACAAAAUAACCAUUUUACCCCUAGGUCAGAAAAUUGAUUUUUGUCUAAUUUCCUCCUAUUAAAAACCUAGCCAAACCCUUAAUACUUUUAUAGUAAUCCAAAAUUUCCACUAUCACACCCAUUUAUCAACAAAUUUCCAACUUAUGCCAAAUAGUCCCUAUUAAUGUUUUCAUGAGGAAACCCUUCACAAAAGUUGCUCAUUACACAUCUAAUACUCAUAUUCUUCCCUAAAAUUUCAGAAAACUAUACAUAUGCUUUCAUGGAAAAACCCUAAACUCUCUACCAUUUUGCAAAAUAGUCCGCUUAAUAGAAAGCUUAUGCUUCAAGGGUCCAAAAAUGUAAAAAUCAUCAACAAAAAGUAUGUAAAUCACUUACUCGCAAGAGGAACAAGUUGGUGAAAUUUUUGAAGCUCAAAACCCUUAAAAAUGACUAAAAAAAUAGUGGUAGUGAAGAAGAUGAGAAUGUGAUAUCAUCUUUUUCUUAAUUUAUUUCUAUGUUAGUCAAUUUACCCAUCAAACCCACCAAACUUGGACUUUUUUACCAAAUUGCUUCCUAUGGCCGGCCAUGCACUAUCUUAGGGUCUAAUUGUCUUUUAAAUACCUCCAAUUUAGGUUCUCUAGCUAUUUGGCACCUUUAGCUAUUAAAAUAGAACUUUUGCAUUUUAUGUGAUUUAGUCCUUUUUCUAAAUUAAGCCCUCAAAAUGCUAAAAUUACUACACCAAAAUUUUCUUACACCCUCAUAAUCAUGCUAUGAUCCUAAAAUAAUUAAUAAAAUAAUUUUCUCGACUUCGGAUUUGUGGUCCCGAAACUACUGUUCCGACUAGGCCUAAAAUCAGGUUGUUACAAUUCUCCCCUUUAGGGAUUUUUGUCCCUGAAAGUGUUACCAGUGAAUAAGUUCGGGUAUUGAUCUCUCAUAGUCCCCUCGGGUUCCCAUGUGGCUUCCUUGAUUCCAUGUCUAUGCCAUAAAACUUUCACUAGUGCUAUACUUGAUCCCACACUUGAGGUAAUUUGUGAUUUGAGGAUAGUAAAGAAGACCAUUCAAAUGAAAGCCAGGAUCAACUUGAGUCUAACUUGCAUAAAGCACAGGUACAUCUCGAUUUUGGUUUAUUGCUAUAUAUAACUCAACAUGCUCAAUUUUAAGAAAAAGUUUUAAACUUCCACUAUAAUUCAAAAUAACUUCUUUCCUAAUCAGAUUUUUCUAACACUUUGAAGCUAAAAUGUGAUUCAGGGGAGGCAUGUCUUGAGACAUGGCUUCAUUGUCUCCAAACACCAAUGUGCGACUCAACUUUUCGACCCAAGAUUCAUAACCUCAGACCCUAUACUUCUGUAUGUGGGCCCCAUAAAUCAUUUUUCCAUAAAUUUUUAUAUGCAUAUUUUUUAAUGAUGGAUUUCUAUUGCUUGAUAACUAUUUCUUUAAACUACUUUGACAAUGAAAAUGGUGUCUUGCAUUCAGAUCUGCCCGAGUUAGGUGUAGAGUGUUACAUAACUUCCCUCAAAACUCUUAAUGGUAAUAUCUCAACUUCAUCCGUUAGAUCUGCUUCCAUCUCAUUACCACUAAAAAGGGUGUAGCCCUUGUUGAAGUCUUCAAAAUUGUAUGAUAAGAAUAAAAUACAAAUGUGAGUUUUAAUUCCAAUUCUUGUAAGCUUUCAUGGUUUUAUAGAUGAUCCUUCUAAGGUUAUUUUUAGUUGACUCUACCACCCCCUUUUAAUCUUAGGUUAGUAUGGCAUAGAAUUAUGAUGCUCUAAUUCAUACUGACCAUAAACUUUAAAUAUCAUUGUAUUAUUCAAAUUAUUGGUGUUGUCUAAAAUGAUUCUUUCUAGCAAUCCGUAUUGGUAAAUAGCUUCCUUUUUAAAAAAUCUUCACACUGUUGACCUCGUCACACUAGGAUAAUAAGCUACCUCUACCCAUUUUGUGAAGUAGUCGAUUACCAUAAAUAUGAACUUGUGUUCAUUAAAAGCCAUCGAAGAAAUUGGACCAAUCAAUGGCUAUGGUGUUGCAAAUACAUACAAGUUAAUCACAGUGAUAUUAAUACUAUCAGCCUAAAUUUGACACUUAUGACAUUUUUUAGCAUAAUCAAUGCAAUCUCUAUCCAUGGUCAUCUAGAAGUACACAACCCUAAUAAUUUCUUUAGCCAUCAUAUGUCCAUUUGUGGGUGCACCAUAUACCCCGUCACAUACUUGAUAGGCGUGUCCAUGGUCGUGUUAAAACAAGACAAAUAUUUCCCCAAGUCAAAGUGACACACAGGCUACGAUAACUAGCCACAGCCAUGCGAUACGGUCGUGCGAACCAUACGGCUAAGGGACAGAGCGUGUCUUAUACCAUGGCGAAACUGCACUUCGAUUUCGUUAAAAUUGGCAGAAGCACGGAAUGCGUUAAAUCACCACGGCCGUGUGAUACAGCCAUGUAGCCCACACGGUCAUGAAACACGAGCGUGCCUGAGGCUGUGUGGGAACCUGAGCAUACACCUUGAAAUUUUCAAUCAGAAUGGGAAACGGGCAUAUCCCACGGCUGUGCUCAAAAGCCGUGGAUAAUACUGACUACAAACAUGGGCGUGGGAGAAGCGAAUGAAAGAGCACACGGUCGUGUGACACGGCCAUGUGUGCCGCAUGGCCUGGGUACACGGGUGUGUCUAAAAAGCCGUGUGCGAUACUGACUUAAAAUUUCACGAAAAACACGGGCUAAGAGCGAGACACACGGGCGUGGGCAAUGGCCGUGUGGUCCAAAAUGAGGCCUCCAUGACCGUGGCCCCCUUUUUAAUUAAAAACCUAACCCUAAAAUCCCCUCAUUCCUAUUUAAACCCAACUAUUCACCCAUCACACCUCCUUUCACUAUUCAUCUUCCCUACUCCAACCACCAUUUCCUAACGAGCCUCUGGCGACCGACUUCCCUGCUCUCCCACCCUUCCUUUCUUUCUUUCUUUCUUUCCUUUCCCUUUCCCUUUCUCCUUCUUUGCUCACCCCUACAACCCACGACCCCCUCUCCUUCCUUUUCCCUCACACAAGUUUUGCCCCACGCCCCAAUAUCAACCGACCACCACUGUUUCCCGUCUCCAUCGAUUCUUCCACUGUUACAUUUAGCUAUUUAUUUACAUAUUUAUUUCUUUUCUAUUUUAUCUUUAUUGCUAUUUCAAACCAUUACCUUAUAUUUUGUAAAAUAGAUUGUUUCCCAUUAUUUUUUUAUGCUUAAGAAUUAUUGAUUUACAACAUACUGUGAUUAUUGGAAUUUCUCUUUGAUAGUUAGUUUACCAUUUGAACUUUACAUGCUUAAACAUUUAACCUUAUUUCAGUGUUAUCUGACAUACAACUCUUUAUUUUCACAUGGUUCAUUGUUCACUUAGGAUUAAUUUAGUUAGGUUCUUUGAUUUCUCUAUUAGGUUCUUAGGCCAAGAAUUCAUAUUUAUGCGCAUAUUUUCUUUCCUGCUAGUCCCACUAUAUGCAUUAUAUUAUGAUUUAUUCUUUGGCAUUUUCUGACUUAGUGGGUUCUUGAUCCUCAUACUUUUAUUGAAUAUUUUCAAGGACACAAUGAAAAAUACUCAUGGUAAAACGUCUGCAGUCCCAACUUCUAAAAAGCAAAAGGGAUCGGGUGCGACCUCCUCGGGUGCGACCACUGAGGUGCGCCAUCCUUUUUCCAAUUCCCACCAGGACCUUAGAAGGAGUUUUUUCAGAUUCUACGUGCACGACCCCUUGGUGUGGGUCAGUGCAUCAAUUGGGCCGCAUUAGAGCAGGCCCACCUGGCUGACUCAGUUCGAGCCCUCCUCGGUACCGCUCCUUGAGACCGUUUCUUCAACAUUAUUAAGAUGACAUACUUGGAUUUCACUUUGGAACUUUGUUCAACAAUUCAAUUACAGAUGAUUAUGUCAGAGUUCGAUGACCCAGGCAGAGUCCAAUUCCAUCUUGGCGGUCUAGUGCAUCAAUUGAGUGUCCCAGAAUUCAGAGUUGCCUUGGGACUUAAUAUAAAACAAUUUAUAGAGGCCAAAAAUUUUCCCCAUCUCUACCGUCACAUUCAUUACGCAACUUCCUCAUGUUAGGCAACACUCAUUCUUGCUACGGGCAUCUAUGACCCCAGCCACUCCAAGGCAUCGGGUCUCUCUCCAGCAUUACAAUAUCUCCAUGCCCUUUUAGCUCACACCUUAAUAGGGCGACGAGAGAGCACUAGCGUCGUUAAUACUCACGACACAUACUUCUUAUGGAGCAUGAGCCAAGGGCAUGUUUUCAAUCUUGCAUACUUCAUAACCCUCGCCUUUCGCCAUCAGACUGAACAACAUAGAAAGGGAGCCAUCUGCAUUGGCCCUUACGUGACUCGUCUAGCUCGACACUUUGGGCUCCUGAACACAUUGGCUCAAUCCUCAUCACUCACACUCAUCAUUCGGAUGUCCCCACAGGGCAUCUCAAGUAUGCUCUACAUGAGGAUGAUAGAGUGUCGCCGUGGGUUCGAUCCUCUUCAAUACCGACUAGCACGAGCCACUGAUCAGGAUGACCCCGAGGAUAUUAUUGACGAUAUCCCUUCCUUUCAUGAGGACCCACCUUCUCCGACACCGCCAAGUCACAGACCAGUUCAUGCGGCUACUUCAUUGAUAGAAAUUUCUGACCACCUAACUCGAUUCGAGCAAUAUUACACUCAGCAGUUCAACAGCACCGCUCAGCGAUUCGACAGCAUAGAGGCGACUCUGUAAUAGAUUUGUCAGCAUUUCCACAUUUCACCUUCGGCACCAGCACCUCACGAUCUACCUGCCGAUGAGGACUUUUGAGUCCAUUUAUUUUCACUUUGUUUUGCUUUUCCUUUUGUUUUUAUUUUAAAAGUUUUAGAAGACUUUUAGUAGUAUAUUUUGAACCCCUUAAUUAUAUUGCUAUUCCUUUAUGAGUAACCAUAACAACCCCAUUGAUAUAACUCCUUAAAACACUAUUGGUGAUAUCAUAGUUUCAAAAGGUUCAAUCGAUUGGUUCUGUUCAGGAAUAUACAAACAAUCUUAUGGGGAAAGAUAAUCCACGACUGUCAUGUCCUGUAACAUCUCGAAAUAGGGCCUAAACGGAAUAGUGAUUGCGAAACCACAAAUUUGAGGUAGAAAAAUUUAUUUUAUUAUUAUUUUGAGGUUCAUGAUAUGAUUGCGUGAUUGUGUGAAAAUUUCGUGAUUAAAUUCUAUGCAUAAAGUGCUUAAGUUGAGAUUAGGGACUAAAUCGAAUAAUUUGCAAAACUUGCAUUCUAGAAGUUUUUAGUAUGAAAUUGCUUUGGAAUAUUAAUUAGGAGGGUUUAAAUAACAAUUUUACCAAUUUCUAAGUUCAUGGAAAAAAUAGGACAUGGAUGGAAUUUUUGAAAGUUUAAUAAGGAAGGGCAUUUUGGUCAUUUGGAUAUUAAAUGAAAUAAAAAGGGAAAAUAACACAAAAUUCAUCAUCUUCUUCAUUAGCACGAAAUUUCAAGGGUUCUCCAUAGCUAGGGUUUGUUUCAAGAUUUCAAGCUCUAUAGUAAGUGAUUCCAAGCCCCGUUUUUAAUGUUCUUUACGUUUUCGGAGUCCCGGUAGCUCGAUAAAGCUUAUGCUAGCAAUAAUUUAAGUUAGGGUUCAUAUUUGGAAAAUAACCAUAGGUGAAAAGUGUUUAUUUUGAUUUUUUAUGAUAGAAUAUGAGGUUUUAAAUUAUGUUAGACAACUUGUGCUUCUCGGUUUUAAGUGAAAACGAGUAAAAGGGCUUAAUCGGUAAAAAUACCUAAUAGUCAUAAGUACAUGUUAGAGUGUGAAUUUGAUGUUGUCAUAGAAGGGAAAAAUGAUCAGCAUGUCAUAAAACAUAAGAAAAUAGGAUGAAGUUUAAAUUACGAGUGUUGGGGCAAAAGUGAAAAUAUGUGAAAGUUUAGGGCAAAAAUGUAAUUUUUCCAAAGUUUGGGUCAAGGACUGUUUUGAUAAAUGUGAAUAUUAAAUAAGUUAAAUUUGCUAUUAUAGAUUAAGAAGAGCGAAAUUCGGGAGUAGAUCGGGGAAAAGAAAAAGUAAAGGACUAAAUUGUAAAGUUUAGUUACAUUUUGUAUCGAGGUAAGUUUACAGUAAAUAAUUUCAAUAUUCUUUUAUUUUACAUUAUUAUUGUCAAUUUCCAGCAUUUAUAUACUUAUUUUCUUUGAAUAUUUAAAGUCGAAUUAAAGGCGAAGUGACAGAGAAAAAGCAUUAGGAAGCCCCGUUUGAACCUUAGGAAUGUUAGGAUAUUGGGGUUGACAGGACAGGACAGAAAUGAGCCAUAUAAGUCCAUAUCAGAUAUAUGGCUUUGGAGAUAGGAAUGAGCCAUGUAAGCCCAUAUUAGAUAUAUAUAUGGCAUUGGAGACAGGAAUAAUUCAUGUAAGUCCAUGUCGAAGACAUGGCAUUGGUAGGAUAUUGAUAGACAGGAACGACCCUAGUAUCCUUAGUAUUCCGAGUGGUUCAACGGGUCAUUGUACACGUUAAAUUACAGUGAAUUAUUAGGAAAAGGGAAUAUAGAUUAUAUUUAUGAAUAGUGAAAGGUCAGGUAAGAAAGAAGGUAAGUGAGUAAUGAAGAAGGUAGAAAAUGAGAAGUAAAGAAUGUUUAUGAGGCUAGGUGACAUUAUGUAUAAUUAUUCAUUAUGUUGAAUGUUGUAAUUUAUUUGCUUGUAAGCUUACUAAGCCUAGUGCUUACUCUCUUUAUUUUCUUUUUCUUAUAGUUUUUAUCAAGCCACUCGGGGAUCGAAGGAAACGUCGAAGACCCGAUCACACUAUCGAAGAAAUCACAUUGGUAUAGUUAGACGUUUCGUUUUGUGUAUGGCAUGUAUAGGAACUUGGUUUAUUUUGAUAUGAUAUGAUCAAUGAAUGAUUUGUAAAUACUUGCUAGUGAUUAGCUAAUAGAGUGACUGAUGAUAUACAUGUUUAAUAGUAUGUAUGAUUAAGUAGUAACUAUCACAUGAAAACUAAGAAAAAUGUGAAAGUAACUUAAAAAUAGAUUCAAGUAUUAGAAAUAACGGGAUUUUGAAAAAUCACAAGAAAUUGUAGAGACAUCGUUUGAUGGUGAAUAAUAUAUGAAAUUAAAGCUCAUUGUGUCUAUUUUCAUAUGGAAUAAGCAAAACAGGUAAAGGUUUUGUAUUUUAUAGGGUAUCUGAGUUUUAGUGAAAUAGGGCCAGAGCAAUUUCUGGAUCCCCUAUUGCAACUUUAGAAAUUCACCAUAAAUUUUACAAAAAUAAUUAUGUGGUUUACUUUAUAUGGUUAGAAUCCUUAUUGAAUCUAGUUUUAAUAUAAACAAACGUUAUAGUCAUAUGAUUUUUUUACAGAGAGAAAACUGGUUCGUAGUAAGUAGAGGCCAGUGCAAUCAAAUUCUAAAAUAGGGGUAACUUUAACUAAUAAACUAUACUAAUUGGAUAAGUAAAAAAUUCUAGAAAAAAAAUUAGUAGAUAGAUAUAUGAGUCUAGUUUCAGGAAAAAUUUACGGAUCUUAAUUUUGAGUUUUGAAACUCGAGAAAUGAAUUUUUAAGCAACCAUGACGCAGAAAAAUAGUUUAUUCCGAAAAUUAAAAUAAGUGGUUUAGAGUUGUUUAAAAGGUAAGAUAAGUUUAGUAACACCUCAAGCUUGGCUCCGGUGAUGGUUUCGGGCGUGGGGGUGUUACAUUUAUUGGUAUCAGAGCAAGUUUAGUCAGUUCUCGGAAUAGUUAGUGUGAGUAAAAGUCUAGCUAUACAUGCCAUACCUGUAUUUUGAUAGUGUGGCGACUCCUGACGAUUUUUAGAUAUUUUGUUUUAUAGUACUGGAUCCCGAGUGAGCUGGUGAUGAUGAUGUAGAAAGUAAUGCAUCUGCUCCCGCGGAAGGAGCAGUGCCAUCUGAGAAUAGGCCAGUAACAGAUAAUCAGGGAGGAGUGACUCGAGAAGCUCUCUUCCAAGCUUUGAAUGAUUUGUUUACCGAGUUCGUUCGUACGAAUCCGGCAGUUAGACCUCCACCCCCUCAUGAAUCUCAGGCUACCCAUGUAGCUCAAGCUCCCCUAGUCACAGGUACAAUGAUAAGAGAAAAGCUACCAGUUGAUAGAAUCAGGAAACAAGGGGCAGAAGAGUUCCGAGCAACAAAAUAUGAUGAUGCAGAAAGAACAGAAUUUUGGUUAGAAAAUACUAUCAGAGUCUUUGACGAAUUAUCUUGUACACCGAAGGAAUGUAUGAAAUGUGUAGUAUCACUUCUUAGAGACUUAGCCUACUACUGGUGGAAGACACUUGUAUCAGUUGUACCAAAGGAGAAGGUCACUUGGGGUUUCUUUCAGGAGGAAUUUCGUAAAAAGUACAUCAGUCAGAGGUUUAUUGACCAGAAGAGAAAGGAAUUCCUGGAAUUGAAACAAGGUAAUAUGACAGUGACAGAUUAUGAGCGCGAAUUUGUCAGGCUUAGUAAAUAUGCUCGAGAAUGUGUGUCCACAGAGGCUAUUAUGUGUAAAUGGUUUGAGGAUGGGUUAAAUGAUAAUAUUCGACUAUCAGUGGGUGUCCUAGAAAUAAAAGAGUUCGUUAUUUUAGUUGAGAGAGCCUGUAAGUAAGAGGAGCUGUUAAAAACAAAAGGCAAAGUUGAGACAGAGACACAAGAUACAAAGAAGAGACAGAUGAGCAGGUCAUUCCAGGCUACAUCCAAAAGACCAAAGGAGUUUUCUACCAGAUCUAGUUUCUCAGUCGGGUAUUCUAGUCAAAAUAGAGGCAGCAGAUUUAAGGAUUCGAAGGCUCAGAACACCUCGACUGCGAGUGUAGGUAAUGUUGGACAGGGUAGAUCAGGGUGUCCACAGUGUGGUAGACUUCAUUAUGGUCCUUGUCGGGCAGGUGAAAAUGUUUGUUAUAAAUGCGGUGCUCCAGAUCAUUUUGUACGAGAAUGUAUAGAGGUGGCUAAUCGAGAGAUAACACAGAGUGCUAGAUCUAGAAAUGCUCCUACUAGAGGCAGAUCACCGAGGCAAUCGGGAGUAAGAGCAAGUAACAGAGGUACCUCAAGAGAUUCGACUGUGAGACCAGAUGUUAGAGCCCCUGCAAGGACUUAUGCUAUUUGUGCACGCGAAGAGGCAUCCUUCCCCGAUGUGAUUACGGGUAUAUUUUCUCUAUAUGAUAUUAAUGUCAUUGCUUUGAUUGAUCCGGGUUCAACUCAUUCAUAUGUUUGCAAGAAAUUGAUGUCUAGUACAAGUAUGCCUAUAGAAUCUACAGAAUUUGUGAUUAAAGUAUCGAAUCCAUUAGGCAAGCAUGUAUUAGUAGAUAAAGUAUGUAGAAAUUGUCCUUUGAUGAUUAGAGGCUACUAUUUUUCGGCCGAUCUCAUGCUAUUGCCAUUUGAUGAGUUUGAUGUGAUUCUUGGUAUGGAUUGGUUGACUACACAUGAUGUGAUAGUGAAUUGUGGAAAUAAAUUCAUUGAGUUGAAGUGUGAAAAUGGUGAAAUUCUUCGGGUUAAUUUAGAAGAGUCAGAUAGUUCAUUUCCCAUAAUUUCUGUUAUGUCUGCUCAGAAAUGUUUGAGAAAAGGGUAUGAAGCUUAUCUUGCUUUUGUGUUUAACACUAAAGAUCCAGAAUUGAAAAUUGAAUCAGUGUCUGUGGUAUGUGAGUUUCCCGAUGUGUUUCUGGAAGAACUACCAGGUUUGCCUCCUGUUAGAGAAGUUGAGUUUGGUAUUGAGUUGAUUCCAUGUACCACGCCCAUUUCUAUUGCUCCUUAUAGAAUGGCUCCAUUGGAAUUGAAAGAAUUGAAAGCUCAGUUGCAGGAAUUAACAGAUAAAGGCUUUGUAAGACCCAGUAGUUCACCAUGGGGUGCACCAGUGCUAUUUGUGAAAAAGAAAGACGGAUCGAUGAGAUUGUGCAUAGAUUAUGAGCUAGUGAUCGAUUAUCACCCAGGUAAGGCAAACAUUGUUGUUGAUGCUUUGAGUAGGAAAUCUUUAUUUGCAUUAAGAGCUUUGAAUACUAGUCUAGCCUUAUCAUAUGAUGGUUUUAUCUUAGAUGAGUUGAGAGCUAAACCGAUGUUUCUUGAAGAAAUUUGUGAAGCUCAAAAAAAUGAUAGUGAGUUGUUAGCCAAAAGAGAUCAGUGUGAGUCGGAUAUAGAGUCAGAUUUUCAGAUUAGUUCUAACGGUUGUUUGAUGUUCAGAGAUAGGGUAUGCGUACCGAAGAAUGAUGAGCUUAUUCGAAAGAUCUUACAGGAAGCACAUAGUAGUUCUUUGUCUAUCUAGGUAGUACAAAGAUGUAUAAUGAUUUGAAGAAAAUGUACUAGUGGGUAGGAAUGAAAAGGGACAUUUCAGAGUUUGUUUCUAGAUGCUUGAUCUAUCAACAGGUAAAGGCUGAACAUCAGGUUCCUUCAGGUUUAUUGCAGCCUGUGCUAGUGUCACGGGGCUAGACCUUUCGUCUCGCAAUCCGUGCGGCCUUAGGCUAUUCGCUCGUCCAAACUCACCCAAGUCAGCCUUUACUCAAAUGAGGGUUCCUUAAGAACUCCUCCAAGGCACCAACUCGUACAGCGGAAGCAAACUUAUGCCAAAAGAAGCUUAAAAGAACAAUAGAAAGGGACGCUCGCAAAGUGUUUGAGUAAAUGCUCUCUAUUCGCUUAUUCACAAAGAAUAAUGAAACAAUGAAUGGAGUGAGUACAAAUGAGGGGGAGGCUCUCUAUUUAUACUUGAGCUCCCCCAAAACCGACGGUCAAGAUACAAUUACAUCGACGGACGAGAUUAACCAAUCCCAUGAUUUAAGGGAUUUUACAAGAUAUUGCCAUAUCAAAUCCUAUCUAAUCUUUACAAGAUAUGAUUCCCUUUAUCUUUAAAGAUUAGUUACCAUAGUUGCCUAAGUUGCCAUAUCUUCGCUAUCGGGCCAACCAGGCUUCAAUCUGACAGGCUUCUCCAAUAUUUCCUUGAAUCCGGCCAGCUCUCGUGGGCCAAAUGAUCCCCAUCUAAGUAAUAGACCUCCAUCAGAUGCAUUUGGUUCGAUGGUCACGGGCUUUGAACUCUAGCCCGUGACACUAGUCCCUAAGUGGAAAUGGGAUCGAGUUACUAUGGAUUUUGUGAUAGGAUUUUCGUUUACACCGAGAAAGAAAGAUGCAAUAUGGGUUAUGAUUGAUAAGUUAACGAAGUCGGGUCAUUUUAUCCCAAUUCUUAUGGAUUAUUCACUUGACAAGUUGGCCGAGUUGUAUAUUUCAGAGAUAUUUAGACUACACGGGGUACCAUUAUCGAUCAUUUCAGACAGAGAUCCAAGAUUUACUUCACGGUUUUGGAAGAAAUUACAGAAGGCUUUGGGCACAAAGUUGAGUUUUAGUACAGCUUUCCAUCCUCAAACCGACGGUCAGUCAGAGAGAGUUAUUCAGGUACUUGAAGAUAUGCUUAGAUGUUGUGUACUGGAAUUUCAAUGCAGUUGGGAAAAAUAUUUACCAUUAGUAGAGUUUGCCUACAAUAAUAGUUAUCAGUCGAGUUUGAAGAUGGCACCUUAGGAAGCUUUGUAUGGAUGUAAAUGUCACACACCUUUGUAUUGGACAGAGCUUAAGGAAAAUCAGAUUUAUGGGGUUGAUCUAGUUAAGGAAACAGAAGAGAAAGUAAAAAUCAUCAGAGAUUGCUUGAAAGCAGCUUCAGACAGACAAAAGUCGUAUGCAGAUUUGAAGAGAAAAGAGAUUGAGUAUCAAGUUGGUGACAAAGUUUUUUUGAAAGUAUCCCCGUGGAAGAAAGUUCUCAGAUUUGGCAAGAAAGGCAAACUAAGUCCACGUUUUAUUGGACCGUUUGAAGUGAUUGAGAUAGUCAAACCAUUAGCAUAUCGGUUAGCUUUGCCAAUUGAGUUAGAGAAGAUUCAUAAUGUAUUUCAUGUGUCUAUGCUACAUCGUUAUCAUUCAGAUCCGUCACAUGUGAUUUCUUAGACAAAGGUUGAGAUUCAGCCAGACAUGACUUACGGUGAAGAACCGGUAAAGAUUCUAGCUCGAGAGGUAAAGCAAUUAAGGAACAAAAGUAUUGCACUUGUGAAAGUAAUAUGGAAUAGACAUGGGGUAGACGAGGCUACAUGGGAACCCGAAGAGGCUAUGCGAAAACAGUACCCAAAUCUCUUCACAGGUAAGAUUUUCGGGGAUGAAAAUCCCCAAAGGGGGGAGAAAUGUAACAUCCCGAAAUAGGGCCUAAACGGAACAGUGGUUGCGAAACCACAAAUUCGAGGUAGAAAAAUUUAUUACAUUAUUAUUUUAAGGUUCAUGAUAUGAUUGCAUGAUUGUGUGAAAAUUUUGUGAUGAAAUUCUAUGCAUAAAGUGCUUAAGUUGAGAUUAGGGACUAAAUCGAAUAAUUUGCAAAACUUGCAUUCUAGAAGUUUUUAGUAUGAAAUUGCUUUGGAAUAUUAAUUAGGAGGGUUUAAAUAAAAAUUUUACCAAUUUCUAAGUUCAUGGACAAAAUAGGACAUGGAUGGAAUUUUUGAAAGUUUAAUAAGGAAGGGCAUUUUGGUCAUUUGGAUAUUAAAUGAAAUAAAAAGGGAAAAAUAACACAAAAUUCAUCAUCUUCUUCAUUAGCACGAAAUUUUAAGGGUUCUCCAUAGCUAGGGUUUGUUUCAAGCUUUCAAGCUCCAUAGUAAGUGAUUCCAAGCCCCGUUUUUAAUGUUCUUUACGUUUUCGGAGUCCCGGUAGCUCGAUAAAGCUUAUGCUAGCAAUAAUUUAAGUUAGGGUUCAUAUUUGGAAAAAUAACCAUAGGUGAAAAGUGUUUAUUUUGAUGUUUUAUGAUAGAAUAUGAGGUUUUAAAUUAUGUUAGACAACUUGUGCUUCUCGGUUUUAAGUGAAAACGAGUAAAAGGGCUUAAUUGGUAAAAAUACCUAAUAGUCAUAAGUACAUGUUAGAGUGUGAAUUUGAUGUUGUCAUAGAAGGGAAAAAUGAUCAGCAUGUCAUAAAACAUAAGAAAAUAGGAUGAAGUUUAAAUUACGAGUAUUGGGGCAAAAGUGCAAAUAUGUGAAAGUUUAGGGGCGAAAAUGUAAUUUUUCCAAAGUUUGGGUCAAGGACUGUUUUGAUAAAUGUGAAUAUUAAAUAAGUUAAAUUUGCUAUUAUAGAUCAAGAAGAGCAAAAUUCGGGAGUAGAUCGGGGAAAAGAAAAAGUAAAGGACUAAAUUGUAAAGUUUAGUCACAUUUUGUAUCGAGGUAAGUUUACAGUAAAUAAAUGCAAUAUUCUUUUAUUUUACAUUAUUAUUGUCAAUUUCUAGCAUUUAUAUACUUAUUUUCUUUGAAUAUUUAAAGUCGAAUUAAAGGCGAAGUGACAGAGAGAAAGCAUUAGGAAGCCCCGUUUGAACCUUAGGAAUGUUAGGAUAUUGGUGUUGACAGGACAGGACAGGACAGAAAUGAGCCAUGUAAGUCCAUAUCAGAUAUAUGGCUUUGGAGACAGGAAUGAGCCAUGAAAUCCCAUAUUACAUAUAUAUAUGGCAUUGGAGACAGGAAUAAUUCAUGUAAGUCCAUGUCGAAGAUAUGGCAUUGGUAGGAUAUUGAUAGACAGGAACGACCCUAGUAUCCUUAGUAUUCCGAGUGGUUCAACGGGUCAUUGUACAUGUUAAAUUACAGUGAAUUAUCAGGAAAAGGGAAGGUAGAUUAUAUUUAUGAAUAGUGAAAGGUCAGGUAAGAAAGAAGGUAAGUGAGUAAAGAAGAAGGUAGAAAAUGAGAAGUAAAGAAUGUUUAUGAGGCUAGGUGACAUUAUGUAUAAUUAUUCAUUAUGUUGAAUGUUGUAAUUUAUUUGCUUGUAAGCUUACUAAGCCUAGUGCUUACUCUCUUUAUUUUCUUUUUCUUAUAGUUUUUAUCAAGCCACUCGGGGAUCGAAGGAAACGUCGAAGACCCGAUCACACUAUCGAAGAAAUCACAUUGGUAUAGUUAGACGUUUCGUUUUGUGUAUGGCAUGUAUAGAAACUUGGUUUCUUUUGAUAUGAUAUGAUCAAUGAAUGAUGUGUAAAUACUUUCUAGUGAUUAGCUAAUAGAGUGACUGAUGAUAUACAUGUUUAAUAGUAUGUAUGAUUAAGUAGUAACUAUCACAUGAAAACUAAGAAAAAUGUGAAAGUAACUUAAAAACAGAUUCAAGUAUCAGAAAUAACGGGAUUUUGAAAAAUCACAAGAAAUUGUAGAGACAUAGGUUGAUGGUGAAUAAUAUAUGAAAUUAAAUCUCAUUGUGUCUAUUUUCAUAUGAAAUAAGCAAAACAGGUAAAGGUUUUGUAUUUUAUAGGGUAUCUGAGUUUUGGUGAAAUAAGGCCAGAGCAAUUUCUGGAUCCCCUAUUGCAACUUUAGAAAUUCACCAUAAAUUUUACAAAAAUAAUUAUGUGGUUUACUUUAUAUGGUUAGAAUACUUAUUGAAUCUAGUUUUAAUAGAAACAAACGUUAUAGUCAUAUGAUUUUUUUACAGAGAGAAAAGUGGUUCGUAGUAAGUAGAGGCUAGUGGAGUCAAAUUCUGAAACAGGGGUAACUUUAACUAAUAAACUGUACGAAUUGGAUAAGUAAAAAAUUCUAGAAAAAUAAUUAGUAGAUAGAUAUAUGAGUCUAGUUUCAGGAAAAAUUUACGGAUCUUAAUUUUGAGUUUUGAAACUCGAGAAAUGAAUUUUUAAGCAACCAUGAUGCAGAAAACUAGUUUAUUCCAAAAAUUAAAAUAAGUGGUUUAGAGUUGUUUAAAAGGUAAGAUAAGUUUAGUAACACCUCAAGCUUGACUCCGGUGACGGUUUCGGGCGUGGGGGUGUUACAUGUCCUACUCGGCCACGACCAUAGCCACCACGAUAACUUCUUCGCUUGGCACUGUGAUUAUGGAACCCAACCUCGACCACCACCUUCACCUCUGCCUAGUUACACAUGCACUCCAUCUCCAAUGUUUAUAAAUCCGCUUUCGCUAUUCCAAGGACUACAUCCAAAUUCAAGGCAGUUUCGGUUCUCCCCCUCUUUCACGAUAUUAUGCUUAUAUUGUUAUUAUCUAUCUUUGUACAUUAAGGACAAUGUGCAUCUUAAGUAUGGGGAGGUUAUUUAUAUGAUUAUCAGAAAAUCUCUGAAUUUUUUAUCUUGUUCUCAAAUAAUUUUCUCAUAUUACUAUUAAAGUGAAUUCUGAUUGAUUUAUAAUUUUUAUUGAUAUGUUUUGAAUUAAAUCAUAGGUAAUUGUGCAUUGAGUGUUUAAACUUUAAGACAUUAGAGAAUCAAGCAUGAUAAGUUGACUUUUGAGAAUUAAAAUUGCUAGGUUGUUUCCCUGAAUUAAGGUAUUUUCUUAAAGUUUGAAUUUACAAGAUUGACAUCAAAUACCCAUAAUUUUCGUGAGAUUUUGAGCCUUUUAGAGCAUAUAUCUUUCUUGCUCACUUAUUUUAUUGGUUAUAAGUGUGUCAACAUUAAUUUGUUAUUCUAGAACUUGCUUCGAUUAUGCAUGUCAAGACCACAUCUUUGAUUUGAUAUACUGAGAUGAUAUUCCACAAAAAGCCUACCCACAUAAUUGACCCUUAGUGAACCCCUUUGAGCCUUAAACACCAUUUCUUGAUAUUCUCCCAUUAAAUGUUAACCCACAACUUAACCCUUUUUGAUUCGUUAAGAAUUUCUCUCUUUUUAUUGACUUCCUUUUUAUCGAGAUUUGAUUUGAUCAGUUACCUAACUAUUUUUGUCUAUUUCAGUUGCUGAAUUAUUUCUUAUUAUGUACUUUCUACUUUUUUUAUUCUUAAAACAAAAACCGUAUAUUUAUAUUCAUAUAAUUACAUAUUGUCAUAAAGAGCUUGGAUAAGUAAGAGUUAUUAAAUUGAGAAAAAGCUCACUUCAUUAGUUUUGGAUAGUUUUAAUUCUGGCACUUGUUUGUAAUUCAGUAAUUAGCUUUUUUUUCUAAGUUUGUUGAUUUAUUAAAUUAAUCUUGAUUCUAAUCCUCUUUUUUAGCGUUUAUCUACACCUUUAACCCAAGCCCCAUUACAACCUUGUUAAAGACCUUUUGAUUUGUGUAUCAUCUCAGUUAUAGUGGUGGAGAUUUGAUUUUCAUGCAAGCCAAUAGUAAUAACAUUUCAUGUUUGACUAUUGAGUGCUUAAUUUUUGAACCAUAAACACUUUGAGUGAUUUGAGUGAAUCUUUAGUAAGGAUGUCAACCCUUGUCGAUUUGAAAUUAAAGGUAAUUACUUAGAAAAAGGGGAAUAUCUAUGAUUUUAUGAUUAAAAUGCUCAAUUUGGAUUGUUGGAAACUUUAAUGUUCUUUUUGUAACACCCCUUACCCGAACCCGAGACCGGGAUAGGGUACGAGGCAAUACCGGACAAACAUACAGACAUCCAACUAAAAUACGGGCUAUAAAAUUUCACUAUUAUUUCGAAACGUUCAUUCACAUGCACCUAGUCCCUUAUUUGGGUCUACGAAGCCCAAAACAUACGUUAGGAAGGUUUUGGGACUAAAUCAAAAACUUUGGAAAGUUCUGGGAAAAUAUAGAAAAUUUUACCAUAAAAUAGAGUCACACGCCCGUGUGCCUUUGACACGCCCGUGUCCUCAGGCCAUGUAACUCUCUGUUUAUGACGUCAGCACACAAGUUGAACCACAUGGCCAAGCCACACGCCCAUGUCUCCAGGCCGUGUCCCUCACACAGCCGUGUCUCAACCCGUGUAAUUAACUCUUAGUCUAUUUUCCAAGCCUUUUUGUCACCCUAAAUGCACCCACAUGGUUUGAAUAACAUUCAACAUCCUAUAUUUUAAUACAAAUAUAUCAUUUGCCUACCAUCAUGCAUGUAAUACACAUUCUUACAUUAACCAGAACUAGAUAUACUAGAUCUUGUUCUCAUUUUAUACCAAAACUAGACAUACCAUUUCACUUUCAUUUGGCCUUAUCAAUUAUAUUACCACUUAUACUCUCAUACCACAGUUACCUUCAUGUCAAAUAAUCUUAACUUAACAACAAACUUAUAUAUAUAACUAAGCCACGUCUUUAUAGAAUACCGACAAUUCACAUACAUAGAACAACAUGCUUGACUAAGACAUUUCACACCAAUUUCAUGUUGAACAAUAGUAUUACUUAUUCUUACCUUACACCUUUGCAUUAAGAAUAAGGUCACAUCUAAUGAUCAUAAUUUAUUCACCACAUAAGCAUGACAUAUCAUAUAGCAAUGGAUCAAGCAUGCAUAAUCAAUUAGGUUUACAACCCAAUGAUCGAAUAUAAACCAUAUCACAUGGCUAUAUACGAUUUAACCAUCAUAAGCCAAUAGUUUUGCCAAAUCAUACUAACAACUAUCAUAAAGACUAAGUCUCUAUGCAUGCCACUCACUUGAAAACACUUGAAGUUUAUUGACGCUUCACAUCAACAUUCUAAUAGUGUGAUGCUGCCUCCGACAAUCUCCAACCCCGAGCUGACCUGCCAAUACUAAAAGAAAUGGAGGGAGGGGUAAGCUUUAUGCUUUGUAUGUCCAUAUGAAAUUAAUAAGCAAUUUACCAAUAUGUUUCCUUAGGUAAAACAACUAUAAUUGCACUUUUAGUCAUAUUCUGGUCAAGUUGUCUACUCGAGUCAUAGUUGACAAAUUAUUUAUAACUUGAGCUACAAGACUCCAAAUUAAGAUCAGUUAAUUUUACCAGAAACUAGACUCACAUAUCUUCUUUUCAUAAAAUUUUCAGAAUUUUUGGUUUAGCCAAUUAGUACAGUUUAUUCAUUAAAUUUUCCCCUGUUUUGCUGUCCAACAGUUCUGAUAUCUCUUCACUAAAAAUUAUUUAUCUCAUACUACAGAAUUCAGAUAAUGCUCCCAUCUAUCUUUCUAGAAAAUAGAAUCAAUAAUAAUUUUAACCAUAUAAUUUAUAACUCACUAUUAUUUUUUUAAAAUUUCUAGUGAUUUUCUAAAGCUAAGACAGGGGAGUCUGGAAUCACUCCAACUUUGUCUCACAAGAACUCAAAUAUCUCAUAAUAAAAAAGUAGUUUUCUUUCCUUUAUGAGAAACAAGACUCAUUAAGCUUUAAUUCCAUAUAUAAUUCAGCCUCUAAUUCGACUUCCACUAUUUAUGGUGAUUUUUCAAAGUUGCGCUACUGUUGCGGUUCAACAUUGUUACGAUGCAAAAUCACAAUAGCUAUCAUAAAUUCAUUGUUGCUUUAUACUCAUAGGCAUGAUUUAAUAUCAUACAUGUAUCUUUCCAUAAACCAUCAUACUUUCACCAAAUCAUAUAACAUUAUCGUUCAUAUCGAUUCAUACAUAAUACACAAGGACAUAUAUCGCCAUAAAUCAUCAUAGUCAUACGAGCACAUAAUGGAAAAUACAUACCUUUGCUUUCUUGCACAUAUACAUACCUUACUUAGCUUACGUUCAAAUUUCAUAUACAUUACCCGUUGAAUAUUUGGAAUAAUGAACAGGAUGUACAAAUGCACCGAAGUGCCAUAAUCAUAACAUAGCACGCCUCUCAAUAGGGCUACAUAAGAGCACUCGAACCUAGCAUGCAUCACAUAACCACGCCUCUCAACAGGGCUGCACAAGCUCCCGAACCUAGCGUGUAUCAUGUCAUCAAAUGAGCUCAUAUAUACAUAACUAUCCUAGUGACAUGUCACUUGUAUCCUCACUUAUUCCUAAGUUCAAAAGGGAUUUUUGGACUUUCACCUCUUUGUCGAACAUUCUCGGAAUGUUGGCCUCAUAUCAUAUGGCAUUAUCAUAUACAAAUACUAACAUGGAAACACUUAUAGCAUAAGCAUAAAACAUCAAAACAUAUUAUAGCAACAAAGUAACCAAAUAACAUAUUAUUUAUCUAAAUGUUAUUUAAACAUUUAAAACAUCAAUUAAGGUAUUUAUUUGUACAUGUACUUACAUCUCAUGUACUAUUAAAGAAAUAAUAUUAAAAUACACAUUGCAUUAUUGAAAAUCAUAUGAACUUACCUUGUAUACGAAAAUGGCCAUUUUUACCAUUUAAGUCCACUACGUUGUAUUUUCUCUAUUUUAGCCCGAAUCUCAAUUUCCUUGAUCUAACAUUACAAAUAUAGCUCAUUUAUUACUCACAAUAUUCAGAUGAGUCCAUAAAUCAUAUUUUUACAAAUUUGCAUUUUGACCUCUAAACUUUUGCAUAUUUGCACUUUUUCCCCAAGGUUCAUAAAUUAAACUUCAUCCUAUUUUCUUAUGUUUUAUGACAUGCUGAUCAUUUUUCCCUUCUAUGACAACAUCAAAUUCUCACUCUAACAUUUACUUAUGAACAUUAGGUAUUUUUACCGAUUAUGUCGUUUUACUCGUUUUCACGUAAAAUCGCUUAGCAAAAGUUGUUUAUCUAACACCCAACACUCAUUUUCUACCAUUAUACAUCAAAAUGCAUGCAUGUCACAUAUGGGUCAAUUUUUGAACAUGAACCCUAGCUCAAAUUAAUGGUAGAAAUGGGUAAAUCGAGCUAUGAGGAUUUCAAAAAUGCAAAGAACAUUAAAAACGGGGCAAAGAUGGACUUACAAUCAAGCUUGGAAAUUUUACAAACCCUAGCCAUGUCUUCCAUCUCUAUAUACAGUUAUGGCAUGAGAAAAAUGAAGAAGAUGACAUCUUUUUCUUAGUUAUUUUGGCUUUAUUUGUCAAAUUACUAAAAUACCCUUAAUGAAAAAUAAAUAAAAACAUACCAUACCAUGCCCAUUUAGUCCACUAAUUACAAAAUGGGCUAUUUCCAAUUAAGGACCUCUAAUUUAAAAACCCAUUACUCACAAGUACUUAGUACCUUUGUGUACUAGAAUACACAUUUUGCAACUUUUUACAAUUUAGUUCUUUUGACUAAAUUGAGUACCCAAAUGUCAAAAUUUUCAAACGAAAUUUUCACAAAAUUAUUCCGUGAAAUCGUAGACCAUAAAAAUAAAAUUUCUUCAACAGAUUUGUGAUCUCGAAACCACUAUUCUGACUAAGCCCAAAAUCGAGAUGUUUCACUUUUAAUUGAAAUUCUCAAUGUAUGAUUAUUUUUGAAUUAUUUCGAAACACUAUUGAUAAGAAUUAUAAGUUGAGAAGAAUGCAUUUUAAUUGUGAGUUGAGGAUUUUGCUUGAGGACAAGCAAAUGCUUAAGUGUAGGGAUAUUUGAUAAACCUCAAUAGUAACAGAUUUUAAUCCCGUGCUUGGCAUAUUUUUGGAUGACUAAUCAUAAGAUUUAGUGAAUUUAAAGCUCCUAAUCCUUUAAUUUCAUGUUUUAUAUCCAGAUGAGCAUAGGAAAGUGAAAAGUGUAAGAAAAAAGCUAAAAAAAGGGACAAAAUAGGUUUAUUUCAGUGCUGCACAUAGUCUAGACACUUCCACAUGGGUACUCCACACACCCGUGUUAGACACACGGGCAGACCACACGCCCGUGUGUCAUGGCCGUGCCGACUUAAAACCAUAUCAAAAUUGCACACGGCCUGAGCACCUUCACACGAGCGUGGCACAUGGCCUUGUCCCUGUCGAGCCCAAGUCUAAUUCUAUUCGGAAAAGGCUAAUUUUGGGCUAUUUUGGGGAUUCCAAAGUCUAUACUAGAAGAGGAUCAAGACACACGGAGGGUAGAAGGCAGAGAAUAAUCGAAGACAGUCAUCAGAAUCAGCUCAGAAGCAGGAUCUAUUUCAAGACUGAAGAUCUCUAUUCAAUUUCCUUAGAAGUUCUUUGGGUUUCUUUAUGUUUUAUUGUUUUCCCAAUUUUGAGAUGUCUUCCCCCAUCGUUAUGAACUAAACUCCCUAAAUACCUAAGGGAGAUGAAAAUUUGAAUUAUAUGAUAAAUACAUGUUCUUAUUCUUAAUUAUGUGUUCUUAAUUCUUGCUUUAAUAUUUCAGGAUAUUAAUUUCAAGUCUGAUGUGCUUAUUCAAUGGAGCAAAAAUCCCUGUUUAAGAGUAGAUCUAGCAUAAUUAGGCGGAGUUGAAUGCAAUCCUAGACAUAGCACGACAUAAAUCUUUCGGAUUAGAGUUAAAUCUAAUAAGGGAAUCCAUAAAUCGAGUUAAUGCGACAAUAGGGGAUUUAAUUAGGAAGAGAUUUCAAUUAAUCAACCUAGAGUCAGUUGUUUUUAGUCUCGAGAGAGAUAUUAACAUAAGUCAGGGAUUUCUAUGGAUUAAGUCAAGUGAAUAAAUCAUUUAAUUCAGAAGUAAUAGGUGAAGCCUAGGUGGAUUUUUCCUUGGGUAUUAUCUUCUACUUCGAUUUUCCAAAAGUAUUCUCCAACUUUUAUUUCUGUCUUGUUCUUAGUUAAUUAAAUAGUUAAUCUUAGUUUAAAAACAUCCCUUUAAUUUUUAGGCUAGAUAAUAAAAAGAUAGUAAGUACUAGUACUUUUAGUCCUUGUGGAUACGAUAUUUCUAGUCUCACCACAACUAUACUACUGUUCGAUAGGUGCGCUUGCCUUAGUCAAAAUUUUUAGUUAGUUUAGCUACUCAAAAAGGAAAAAAAACAUAAUAAAAGAGAAGGGGAAAGGAAAAAAAUAGAAUAGAAGAGAACAAAAGAAGAAAGGGAAAAACAUUUGGGGUUUAGGGAGUUAAGUUUAAGGUUUAGUUUGGGUUUGAAAAAAAAAAGAAUAGUGGAUUUUGUUUAGGGUUUGGAAAAAAUGGAUUAAGGGAUUUUGUUUGGGGUUAUAAGGGUUUAGGGUUUCAAAAAAUUCAAAAUAUUAUGAAUAUCUUAUUAAGUGGAUGUCCAUCAUGAUCAAGAUAAAGUUUUAAUGUAUUUUAAAAUUUAAUAGUUAGUAGAAUUAGAUAUCUACUUCUUUUAUACUUCUUAUGCCUAUAAAUAGAGACUCUGAUGAAGCAUUGUAAUCAUCCCAAUUAAUCAAUAAAGUACAUUCUCUAUUGCUUCUUACAUUCUCUAUUGCUUUCAUAUUUUCUUUGUUCUUUAUUCUCCCUAUCUCUCUUUAUUUUAUAACACGUUAUCAGCACGAUCUUGCUCAAAGUAAUAGUUCCUUUUAUCAACGAUCAAAUUUAUCCUCCAUGAUUUUCAGUUUCUUUGAAGGCAAGAUGCAAAGUUUUUACAGAUGGUGAAAGAUUUGUUAUCGUUAUCUAUGUGAAAUCAAGAAUAUUUUUGAACUAUCUCAUACCUUCUAGUGAUGACAAUGGUUUUAAAGAUCUUCAGGUAUAUUUUACUAUGUUUUAUUUAUUGUUUAUUAUAAUUGGAGACUAAUCAUGAAAACAUGCAUAGAUAGAUUUUGAUUUGAAAUCUCACGCAUGUUUGCGAUGGUAAUUAUGAAAUAAAGAAUCUAUUGGGAUGUUUAUAAAUAUGUCCUACUAGAUUUGUUGCAUUCCCCGAAGUGAAUGUAAAUAUAAAGAAAAUAAAAGAUAUACUAAUGGACUACUAAAAGUGGGAACAUAGUAAUAAAUAAGAGAACAAUGAGAGUUCUCAAGAAAACUCUUUAAAGGGUAAAGAUAACUUAUGUUAUCAAUAUGUGAUAUGAAAUAUUAUUGGCCACAUAUGUGGCGUAUGCCCAAAUAUUUUGUUUCUGUUAAUAGCCUUUGAGGAAAAAUAUGAAAAUGUAGGAAUGAAUUCUAUCAUUAUAGAUAGAAAAUAUUUAUCUUAUUUGGUAUUGAAACAAACAAAUAUUAUUCCAAUAUUUGAUAGUACAAAAUUAGUUAAAAGCUCCAAAAGAGCUAAUAUGUCACUAUCUAAAAAGCACAAAAUUUGUGAUGGUUAAUGCAUUAUUUUUAAAAUUUAUUUGUAAUGGAUCUCAUAUUGAGAUUGUGAAUGAGGAAAAGAUUAUAUUUCAUAUGAUUAAAAAAGGGGGAUUGAGUUAUUAAUUUAUAAUAUUUAUGAUAUUCUUUUAUCAUCAUCCCUAUUAAAGGGUUGAAAGCAAAAUAUUUGACUGUGAAAGAUCUACUCAUGAGCAAUAGAAUAUGAUAAUUCUAUCUAAAGCUUAUUACGGUUGGAUGCAUCUAAAGUUGCAAGUAUUUUUUUAAAAACUGUGAACAUAACUCUACAGUUUUCAGAAUAAAUUCUCAAUUAAAAUUACGUAGUAAAAUAUUACUAAUGAGAACUUGCAAAAGAAAAAACUUAUGUAUGAAAAGUCAUUGGUUAUGUACCUGUUAUACACAUGGAAAAUAAGAUUCACUCUCAAAGUUUGCUGUUAAUAGAUUUUUGGGCAUUUGAAUAUUUUGGCAUAUUCCCUGAAGCGAUUACUGCAUAUAAUUAUUUGAAAAUUAUAUUUAUUAACUUAGUGGCAUUAUAGAAUUCACAGUGAUUUAGACAUUUCCAGAAGUAAAUGUCACAAUAGUAUUUAAUGUGGAUACAAAAUAAAAAGAAUGACAAUAAAAUUAUCAAUUUGUUACAAUUUAGUACAAUUGAGACACAUGAUAAAGUAAACCAGAAGUUUACUAAUACAAAUGCGUUUACUACUUGGCGUGACCAAUUAGACUAUCCUAGAUCGUAUAUGAUGCGAAAAUAAAUUGAGAAUUCAUACAGACAUCCAUUAAAGAACCAAAAGAUUCUUUAAUUUAAAGAAUUCUCAUUUGUUGUUUGUUCUCAAUGAAAAUUGAGAAAAUUGAUUAUUAGAAACUCACUAGCUAAAGUUGAGAUUUAAUGUUUUGUAUUUCUGAAAUAAAUAUGGGUCCAUUCAUCCACCAUGUGGAUGGUUUUGAUAUUAUAUGAUUUUUGUAGAUGGAUCUAGAAAAUAAUCACAUGCAUUAUCAACUUGCAACCUGUCGUUUGCGAGAUUGCUUGUUUAAAUGAUUAAUUUUAGAUUAUGAAAUUAAAACAAUUCAUCUUGCUAAUGUUGGUGGGUUUACAUCCCAAGUUUUCAAUGAUUAUUGCAUGUCAAUUGUGAUAAAAGUUGAACAUUAUGUAGCUCAUGUUCACAGACAAAAUGAUUUAGCUUAAUUGUUUAUCAAAUGCCUCCAACUAAUAGCUAAACCAUUACUUAUGAGAACAAAACUUUCUAUUUCAGCAUGAGAUUCAUGCUUGUAUUGAUUUACAUGUUGUACGCAUCAAGCCAAUAAAUUAUAAAUACUCCCCAUUACAAUUAAUUUUUGGUCAAGAGCCAAAUAUUUCCCAUCUUAUAAUUUUUAGAUGUGCGAUAUAUGUUCCAACUGUUCCACCACAACGCACAAGUCAAAUAAGAGAUCGAGAAUGUAUAUUUAUAUGAGUCUCCUUGUAAUAUUUUUGAGCAAUUAAUUUGAGAUUUAAUUGUGACAUGAGUUGUCAGUUUUCCCAACAUUAGGGGGAGAGAAACAAUAACUUGUAAUGAGUUAGGGGGAGAGUAAUUGAACCAGAAGUUUAAUAAGGAUAACUCAUUACAAGUUAACUGUUAAAUGUAUUUACAAACUUAAUUUGAAUAACCAAGUGUUAUAUAGAUUGAUCGGUUCCAAAGAUGAAAAAAUUCUUCUAGAUGGUCAUAUAGUGGAGGCAGGUGCUCUAGAAGAGACCCAAGACAUAACUAAUAAGUAAAACUUCAGAAGAGAUUCAGUUACCUAAAAUUGAAUUUUAAAAUAAUGAACUUAAGAGAUCUCGAUAAAUUAUGUCAAUUCGAGAAAAUGUAAAACCGAAUAAUAAAAGUGGUCGACAAUGAUUUUGCAUGUAGUAUUAUAAUGAAAUAAAAGGAAUAUCUUGAAUAAAUCUAUUGAGAAAUAUAGAUAUAGAAUAAAUUGAUCAAAAUAGAAAGACGCAACUCAAGUACAAUUAAAUUUGUGGAGUUUUUGGACCAGUAGUCCAAAUAUCUAAAGGUAUAAAGCCAGUAAAGGUGCAUGUAAAGUAGUUUUACAAAAUCGGAAUAAAAAUAUGAAUUUUUUCGCUAAGUCCUGGCAUUGAUUAUGAAAAGAUAUAAUAUUUUUUUGUGGUAGAUGCAAUAACCUUUAGAUAUAUUAUUAAAUUGACAAUUCAUAAACGAUUUAACUUGCGUCUAAUGGAUAUUGUUACAACCUUUUAUGAAUCACUAUAUAGUAAAGUUUAUAUUAAAAUCCUUGAAGGAUUUAAAAUGCUAGAAGCAUAUUGAAAUUCUCAGGAAAUUUUUCAUUUAUAUGAAUUGAAAUAAUUAAAAAUAUGUGGUAAAUUUGACUUAGCCAAUAGUAGAUGAAAGAGGAUAAUAAAAUGAUCCAAAAUACCUAUUUGUAUUUUUAUAGAAGGAUCAUGAUUAAAGUUUGCUAUGAUUAUUGUUGAAAUUCCUAAAGAGAUCAAAAUAUGUUUCCCCAAAAUUUUCCCUCAGUCAUGAUAAUCAAAAGAAUAGUUAUAUAAAUGGUUAGCAAUACAUUCAAAUAGUCAUUUGAAAAACUAGUAUUCAAGAUUGAAUUAGUAGAAUAUGAGAAAGUAUGUUAUGUUUUCAUGAAAGGUAGUAAAUACGUGUUAUACUUUUUUUUUCCCUUAACCGAUGUUUUGUCCCAUUAGGUUUUUAAUGAGGUAACAUAUUAUGCGUACACUACAACAAAACUGACUUUUAGCGGCCUUUUUUUAGGCCUUUAGCGGAGUUUUUACAAGCGCCGCAAAAAACACCGCUAUAGAUAACGCCGCUAAAUUUUGCGUCAUUUAUUUGAAAAAACGCUGCUAAAAGUCAUGGCCUUUAGCGGCGCUUUCCCCACAAACGCCGCUAAAGGCCGUGUUCUUUAGCGGUGCUUUUCCCACAAACGCCGCUAAAGGUCAUAAAAUUUAAAAUAUAUAUAUUAUAAAAUAUUAUAAAGGUCAUGAAAAAUAUAAAAAAAUUUAAAAUUCAUUAUCAAAAUAUUGAGAAGAAUAAUGUCCAUGAUAUAAAUAUAAAAUUUUUCUAUUAAAAUUCUAUUAAAAUUCAUUAUCAAAUUAAAAUAAAAAUAAAAAUAUAGAAUCAAAACUAAAAUAAAUAAUAUAAAUUAGAUUAAAUAUAAAUAUAAAUAAAAUACAGCAAGUCUUUUACUAACAGCAAGUCCAAAUACAACAUCUUGUUUGCGAACCUAAACAACACUCAGUAAAUUAUAAAUGUUCUUCUUAAUCCUUUAACGGAAAGAUUACCAAACCAGUUAUCGUGUCGUAAUGAUGAAUAUAGAUAUCGAUAUUACCUGAAUAAUACAAGCUUGAACAAGUCAGAAUCAAAGAACAACCAAACCAGAUCAAGUGAAUCAGGCAAUGCAGAUAAAGCAUAUUCAUAUAUAAGCUAUAUGUUCAGCUGUAGGCAAGUCCAACAAACUUAGAAUGAAUGAAUUAUUAAAAAUUUUAUUAAAAAGGUAUAUAUAAAAAAAAGAGUUUAAAUGAACAGUUUGAAUCAACAGAAAAGAAAAGCUAUGAUAAUUUUGAGGACUUUCAUGCCUAGGUAAAUUAAGUUGAAAAAUUAUAAUUUGAAGGCAAAGUAUUUCAAAGAUUACUAAAAAGCAUAUCCUGUAACAACAAAUGCUUCAUCCAAAACAGUAAAUCAAAAUAAUAAAGCACCAAACUUGUAUACUGCCCACCAUUAUAAGUCACUAAAAGCAAGAAAAACAAAAUGACUUAAUUCAUGGAAUUCACGAAUGUUAACAUCAGACAUGAGUUUAAAACUUUGCCUUCGAAAGGAUGUUCAAAACUAGAAUCCACAAUAGAUCGAAGCAGCUCCGGUUUUAGCAGAAAGUCUUUGAAUCCCGAACUGUGAUUUCCAACAUACCCCCUACACCACAUAAAAAAGAAAUGAAACAAAUUAAAAUCAAAUUGCUUUACACUAAAACUAGCAUAAACUGGUAAUAAAUUGCUAACCUUUUUUUCCACCAUAAACUGGUAAAUUACGAUCCUUAAUCAGCUAAUAACUUAAACAAGAUUAAGCUUCAACAGAACUUUUGAUUUUUUUAGAACUAACAUCAUAUGAUAUAAACAACAUCUUUUACCUAUUCAUGAUUCCUAAUCAUGAAAGUAUAACUCUCCUGCAGAUUUAUUUAAUGGGAUUUUUUACUCUCGAGUAAUUUGAAGUUGGGAAUAAGAGUUGUUAAUUUCUUGACUAAUACUUUCAAACUCCAAACUAAGAAACAAGUUCUCUAAUUUCUUACUGCAAAUUCAUGAGAAAAAGAUUGUUCAUAAUUUUAUGGCAAGUUCUCUCUAAAUUCGUGUUUUCCAGUUUCCUACAUUCAAGUUUCUAUUUUCAAUAUCAUCAAAAUAUUGCAAGUGAUUUCAGAUCUGUAUUUAUCAGAAGGGCAAAUGAAACCACAUGAAUGCCUUAACAGAACAAAGUAAAACAGAGAUGGUCUUUCAAGCAUUUAGUAGCAUAGUUGUAUACAUUGAUCAUUUGGCGGAAGCCCCCGGAAAUUAGAUAAACUUCGGUAUUCCUUACCUUUAGCUUCUUGACUAAUUCUUCAAUGCCGAGCGAAAUCCUAGAGAUCAAUAAGAAGAAUAAUGAACUAGGCUAUCAAACAUCAUGUCAAAGAGAAGAUUAAAAAGAAAGGUAAACAAGAAUAAAAAAUUGCUAAUUCAUGGAGGAGUUGAUGCCUUUCAGUAGUCAUUUUUAGUAGAGGGCAAAAUGCAAUUUAGCUCUUAAUACAAAAGCCUCCAUGAUACGUUUACCCGAUAUUUUUAUAUUAAAUGCAAUCAUUAAACGCUAAUAUAUUGAUUCCCAAUGCAUUGAAGGAAAAAUUACUUUAUAUGGUAACCUUAAAGAUUAACUAUAUCUAAAGAAAGUUAAGAUGAAUUUACUAACCUCAAGAUCAGUAGCACCAUCACCAAUCAUGACUAAUGCCUUGUAUCCCUUAACCUGGAAAUUUUUUUUGGUUAGACUUAGAAAAUGAACUUUUAGCCGGCCAAUACAAAAAAAGCCACAAGACUCACCUUUCUUAUUUGCUGAACAGCAGUAGCUUUUCCUCCACUCCUCGAAGUGGGCUCAUUAGCAUCGAAUCCCAAAAACUCCCCGGAACUUCCAAAGAGCAGCUGAUUGGAAAAAUGUUUUCUUGCGAAAUUCCAAGGAUUGAUGCAACAGGCUACAAAAACGCUUCUCAAUUAACUAUUUUCUGGCAGUAGUUGGCCAAUGGUUAACCAUUGGAAGAUUAUAUUAAUAUACAAUAACAUGGCUCUCUCAACAGUAACGAACCUACAUGCUGUACAAUGACUCUUACUGAUGACAACAUUACCCAUAUCACACUUUCAUAAUUUUAUAUCUAAUUGGUUUUUCAGAAGUCACCAUUUGCUGCAUGUGUAGUAUCUAAUGUCAAGUAAGGAUUGCCAUUUCGUGUUUUCCAAUUUCCUACAUUCAAGUUUCUAUUUUCAAUAUCAUCAAAAUAUUGCAAGUGAUUUCAGAUCUGCAUUUAUCAGAAGGGCAAAUGAAACCACAUGUAUACCUUAACAGAACAAAGUAAAUCAUAGAUGGUCUUUCAAGCAUUUAGUAGCAUAGUUGCAUACAUUGAUCAUUUGGCGGAAGCCCCCGAAAAUUAGAUAUACAUCAGUAUUCCUUGCCUUCAGCUUCUUGACUAAUUCUUCAAUGCCGGGCGAAAUCCUAGAGAUCAAUAAGAAGAAUAAUGAACUAGGCUAUCAAACAUCAUGUCAAAGAGAAGAUUAAAAAGAAAGGCAAACAAGAAUAAAAAAUCAUUAAUUCAUUGAGGAGUUGAUGCCUUUCAGUAGUCAUUAUAGCUUGUAUGGGAAUUAAGGAUUAUCAAGCACAUAAAUGCUACCUAGAAUAUCAAACACAUUGAAGAAGAUGCCAAUAAGCAAGGCUGACAAUAUUUGAAUUGAAGAAUUGGAGAAAUUUUAUAGCCAAGAUAACAAACCCUUCCUUUGUACUUCUUAUCACAUUACAAUCAACAAGUUAAUAUGUAAAAUUUUGGAGCAAUUUCCAAAGUAAGAGAUUGACAAAAAGAGACCUGCAAGUCAAAGUUUCAUGCAAAUCAAAGUUCUAAAACCUCAAGUCCAAGUACUGCAAUGAACAUAUAUUCCAUUUUUCAACUAAAUCCAAUGAAGAAAAAACCUUUAAAUCAUAAGAAAACACACACACACACACACAGAGAAAUACCAAUUGGACUGAUAGUUGAUCCUCUUUCAGUUAAGACCAAAACUGCUGGUCCUUGUACUUUUGGUUGCUCAUCCUAACAAAACAAAACAAAAACAUACACCUACUCAUCUCAUGCCCCAGAUAUUCGCCAAAGCAAUUAUAUAGUUUUAGAUGAACUAUUGCUGCCAAAAUUGUGCAAAUAAUAAACCAAGCUCAAAAUCAGAAUCAAGAGAAAACAAAGGUGUACCAAUUUAUGAGCUAAAAACAAACAGCAACUAUGAAAAUAUCAGCCACAGAACAUGCUUGUUAGAUAUAUCAAAAAUCAAUAAAUACUAUCUCCGUGCGGUGAUUUUAGAAUUAAAAAGAAAAUGAGAUCGAACAUAAAAGAUUUAAACAAAAAAACAGAGAUGAUGCUGCCUCCAUCCAAUUCAGACAGAUCUAGCUUAGUCAAUCAAAAAUAAAUCUCAAAACCACAAAUACCCAUAAAGAUCUCAAUGAACACCAGAUCAAAACAUGCAGAUAUAUCAAAAGGCAAACAGAAACCCAAAAACCCAGUAUGGGAUCAAAAGAAAAUUUUUAUUAAAGAAAUCAAAUCUAAAGAAAAGGAAUAAAAGAAAGGUACCAAAUGACUAGAGAGGAUGACUUUAGAGCCAUGACCGAUCAAUUACUUGAUGGUGGGAACAGCAACACGGAUCCUUGUGUCAUCAGUUAUGUUGAAGUUAUCAUCCAAUGGAACGUUCAGAUCGACUCUAACAAACACUUUCUUUCCCUUCAAAUCAUUUUCCUUCAAGUCCCCAACGCUCUUCUUUGUAGCCAUGGUAGUAGCACUUCUUCAACAACAACCAAACGUAUAAACAACGCUACACCCGAAAAAAGGAUUAGAGAACCUAUCUGCAAAAUCAAUAAGAAAAUGGGAGUAUUCAAAGUGAGAGUACUUACGAAGACGAGAGAGGCAGAUAUAUCUAGACAGUGAAAAGAAACGAAUGAUCGAGAGAAAAAGAGUAACGAGAGAAAAAGAGUAGCUAAAUUUUAUUUGGGGGAUUUAGGGUGAGUGACAUAGAUGAGAAGAAGAGGGAAUUUGGGAGUGAGCGGGAAUUUUUUGGGAGUGAGCGGGUAAGCAAAAUUAAGCUAUAAUGGCCUUUUUUUGGUAAAAUUAUGGAUUUUUGUGGCAUUUUCAAAACAAACGCCACUAUAACUCAAAUUUUUUGCGGCGUUUUUACUAAAAAUGCCACUAUUACUUAAUUUUAAUUUUUUUUUCAUUUUAACAUAUUUUUUUCUAUUUUUUCUUUCACAAUUUUUGUGCUGAGAUUACCAUUUUUUGGAAUUUUUUUAAUUUUGAAUAUUGAACUUUUUAACUGAAAUAUGGACUAAAAUAUUAAAUAUUAAAUAUUUAAGUUUUUUUAUUUUUUAAAUUUUAAAUUUUAAAUUUUAAAUUUUAAAUUUUAAAAUUUUUUUGAAGAUUUUUAUAAUUUUUAAAUUAUCGUAUAAAAUACAAAAGGAAACUUUAACAGAAAUAAAAUGAAAUUGAUGAAUUAAAAAAAUAUAAAAUGACACAGCAAAUUUAAUUGUUUAUCAAAAUAACCAAGCCGUUGUAGUAGAAAAUGUGGUAGCUAGAAUAUGAUAUUCAAGUAAAAUAAGAUGAACAUGGUGAAUGUUGUUACUAACCUAAAAGUGAAGUCAACCUUGUUCGGAGGAAUCGACAACCUCGUUUAAUUCACCAAAUAUAUUCGGGUAGCAGAGGGGACACUCGAUGGCUAUGCAGCAGAUGCAAAGGGAGAAGGCGAUGGAGGGGAUGGGUUGCGAUGCAUGGGGCGAAGGCGACAAACAAAAACGUUUAAGUUAGAACUUUAUUUUGUUUGUAAUGAAACAUCGCCGUUCAAAUCGAAUUUUAUCCCUUGUUGUUAAACGUCAUCAUUUAAGCCAAAUGGUAAUGCAAUUUGGUGGCGUUUUUAGAAGCGCCACUAAAUGCUUAAUACUAUAAACUGAAACUGCAUCGUUUUAGUCGACUAAAAACAGAAUUUGCGGCGUUUUCUGGCUAAGCGCCACUAAAUUUUUUUCCCCUGUAUGGUGCCGUUUGUACAAAUUUUAAUACAUUUUAAUGCCUUUUUUUGUUUAUCAAUUUUUUUUAAUCUAAUAUUUUAAAUAUGUUUAGAUUAAAUAUUUUUAAAUAUAAAAGCAUUAGUUGGUUGAUUGUAUAAAAUUUUAUCAUUUAACAAAUCUCAAGUUUAUCUAUUAUAUAUAUAUAAGUUUAUCUAUUUUCUCUUAAAUAAUUUAAACUAUAUUCAUAAUUUUAAUAUAUUAAAUUUAAUAUUAUCUCUUUACAAUUAUAUAAUAAAAUAUUUAAUAUAUAAAUUAAAAAAACUAAUUAAUCUAAACCCUAACCCCUAACCCUUAACCUCUAAACCCUAAGCCAUAAAACAUAAACCCUAAACUUCUACCCCUUACCCCCUAUCAUCUAAACUUUAAACGACUAGAGUUUAGCAUAUAUUUUUAUAAUUUUGAAAUGAUUAAAUAAAAAAUUUUCCAUUAUUCAAAGGGAUGAAGUGCAAUUUUACCUUUAAAAUUUUUAAAAAUUUCAAAAAAUCGAAAUGGAAAAUUUUUCAUUUUAGAGGGGCGAGACCCUUUCAACCCCCUACUUAUGCCCCAAAAUAUAUAUUAAUUAUAGGGUUUAGGAUUUAAUUGAAUAUGAUUCACUUGAGAUUAACAUACUACCCAUGGCCAUUAAACCUUAAACCAUAAAACCCUAAACCAUAGACCUUAAUCCUUAAAUAUUAAACCCUAAACCCAAAAAUAAAUUUAAUCAAUAUUAAGUAUUGCUUCCAUAAUUUAUUAUGAACAUAAGCUUUUACAAUAAUAUCUAUGUAUAUACACAUCAACAUCCAUAUGAUGUUUUUUAGGGUUUAGGGUUUUAGAGGUUAUAGAUUAGUGUUUAGUGUUUUUUAGGGUUUAGGGGUUUUAAGGGUUAUAGAUUAGUGUUUAUGAAUUUUUUUGGGUUUAGGUUUUAGGGGUUAUAUGACUUUUUAUGGCGUUUUGAGAAAAAACGCCGCUAUUGCUCUAUUUUUAGCAGCGUUUGACCAAAAACGCCGCUAUUGCUCUAUUUUUUAGCUGCGUCUGACCAAAAACGCCGCUAUUGCUCUGUUUUUUAGCUGCGUUUUACCAGAAAACGCUGCUAUUGCUCUAUUUUUAGCGACGUUUUUGGUAAAACAUUGCUAAUGUAUAAUUUUUGCGGCGUUUUUUGAUAAAACGCCACUAAAAACGCCGCUAAAGCCCUAUUUUCCUGUAGUGGUAUUAUAGAUCGUGUACUAUUUUUCCUUCAUUAGGUUUUCAUCCCAUAAGGUUUUUCCUAAUAAGGUUUUAAUGAGACACAUUAUCUACUAAUGGACAUUCAAGGGGGAGUGUUAUGAAUAUCUAAUUAAGUGGAUGUCCAUCAUGAUCAAGAUAAAGUUUUAAUGUACUCUAAAUUUAAAUAGUUAUUAGAAUUAGAUCUCUACUUCUUUUAUUCUUCUUAUGCCUAUAAAUAGAGACUCUGAUGAAGCAUUGUAAUCAUCCCAAUUGAUCAAUAAAGUACAUUCUCUAUUGCUUCUUAUUUUCUUUAUUGCUUUCAUAUUUUCUUUGUUCUUUAUUCUCCUCAUCUCUCUUUAUUUUAUAACACAAAAGAAGUUUUUUUUUUUAGUAUUUAUACAUUUUUGGUUAGUUUAGUGAAAUUUUUUUAUUUAUUGGUUAUAAAUGUUAUUUUUUUUGUCUAACCAUGUUAUUUUAGAAAUGUUUUUGAUUAAUUUAUAUUCUGAUUAAUUUUUUUUUAUUUUUGUACAGUAUUAUUUUGAUAAGAAAGGAAGGUUUUUGGUAGGUAGUAUUUUGGUAAGGUAUGUUUCUAUUUUAUUUUUUGAUUCAUAUGUUUUUUUUUGUUUUUUUAUUAGAUUCAAAUAACAACAUUAGUCUUAUCAGGUUUAUUAUGUUGAGAUAAUUUUUGUUGUUUUAACAUUUUUUUUAUGUAGGUAAAAGAUGGAACCAUUAAGUUGGAAUUUAUGAGAUAUUUUUUAUAUUCUUUAUUAAGUAGUAUAAAAACAUUUAUUAUAUACUAAAAUAGUAUGGCAAAAAUGUGAUGUGCACCAAACUCUUUAGUAUUUUUAUAAUUAUAUUAUUAGUGUACUAUAUUUAUUGUAUAAUAUUAAUGUGCUUUGAUAAUUAUUUAAAAUGUGAUAAUUAUUUUUUGUUAAGGUGUCUCAUUUCUAUAUUUUAAUAUUUCUUCUAUUAUAAUUGGGAUAAAAAAGGCCCAAAUAGAAAUUAGUUACUUAUCGAAAUGUGUUUUUUGCAACAAACUAAUUGAACUCAAUUUUUUUCUAGGUUGUAGAUAUCAAAAUAGGUUCUUUGAUUAAAGAUGAUAAUCACGUAUCGAAAACGGUUAAUAUGAUGAUAAUAAAAUUGUUAUUUCUUACCAUAUAAAAAGUUCCACAUCAUUUACAGAUUUAAACUAGGUUAUAUUAACCAUUUUUGUAAUUUAAUAGUGUUAGGGCCCGUAUUACGCAUUGAGGGGUCGUGUGAACAGUUUAUGAUAUCUGCUGAAUGAAUAACUAAUGUCAUACUUUGAGUUAGCCAGAUUCAGAUCAGCGGUAUUGAUCUGGACAUUUGAUUUAUGGUACGACUUAAUUUCUACUUUGGUCGAGCGAUGGCGCCUGAAGACCCACACUUUACAUUUGUUAUGUGGGCAGUGCACCAUCACUCUGGAGGAUGUUACACUACAACUUGAGCUCCCAUUCAACGGUAGUACUGUAACAGGCAUAAGUGCGAUCUCUAAGCCAGUCACCCUUUGCUAUAACCUACUGAGAGUCUCGCUCGAUGAUGCCGAGUUGAAAUUUUUGGGUUUGAGGUUUUCAUGGCUAAAGGCCAAUUUCAAAUAUUUACCGAUUAAUGUCACUGAGCGAGAUGUGAUGUGUGCCGCUCGAGCAUACAUUAUGCACAUUAUAGGAGGUGUACUCAUGUCUGAUGCAAACAACAACGAGGUCCAUUUGAUGUAAUUACCUUGUUAAUUGAUUUGCAUAACGUCUAUUCAUAUAGUUGGGGUUUCGCAGUACUAGCUAUGUUGUCUCGCGAGCUUUCUCGGACAAAAAAUCCUUCUGCUAUGGGCAUAGAUGGAUGCCUCAUAUUGUUGUAGUCUUGGGCAAUUUACCGGAUGCUAUUCUUGGCGUCGGUUAGUCACGAAGCAUAUGUCUUUCCACUUGUGAAUAGGUGAAAAAAAUUUGUCCCAUUAUAGCAAUUAUUUGACAUUUCUUUUUUAAUGAUAUUAUUCUAACAAGUUUUUUUUUGUAGAUGGAGUACUAAUUCGGGUAUUAAGAGGUCAUACACGGUUUUGAUAUACCGUCUGAUGAUUAAGACACAUGCUGGGAAAGGGUUAAGUUAUUCCAAUAUUUGUGACAUGUAAUUACUUUAUAUAUCUUACUCGAACCGUGUUAAUAUAGCCAUGUUAUUAAUUGUGCAAUUCAUCUUGAUGCCCUAUUCCUUCCCGCAAAUUGCGACUGUGAUUCCCUUGUCUACCCACAUCCAUUCACACCUGUAGUGCAUUAAUGCACCCAUUAUCAAUUUCCAGACAGUGGAGUAGUAUAAUAGAGAUUGAGUACUUCGGUAGUCCAGAUGCGUACAAUAUAUCCCGGCACCGCCAGUGCAAUUGGGGAAAAUCCACGGGAUUAUCAAGAGGGGAAAACAUGGACAUAAUUAGAUAGUAGUGCAUCAACAAUAUAUUGCAGUGUGGAACAACUAGAUGGGGCAAAGACCUCAGAUGGAUCUCUCUUUUGAUUUGCAGCGCUCGUUACAGAACAUACAGUAGUACUCUAAGAAGGGGAAACUAUAUUUAUUCGGUGGGCAAUCUCGACUGUAAUCCCCUCGUGCAUGCCAUGCCUUGGGCAAGUCACCCAUCCCCUUCCACAUCCGCCUCCUGCACCCGAGCCAGAGCCCUUGCUUAAACCCUAGCCAAUGCUCGAACCUGAGCGGUCUCAUACACAGUUUUGGAAUAGUUUUUAUCAUCUAAACCUAGGGGUCAAUGACUGUUUCUCGGGCUCAUCAGACCACGAAUAUCAUUUAGAGUUUCCUAGAUCCAGUUCUGAUAUACUUGAUCCGAUAUCAUCGAUGACGUUUGAUAUCUUUAACCCAUUACCACCACAGUACCCCUGUCUUUCCAGGCAAACGUUUGGGGCAUACGAUUUUUCCACUAUGUUUAGCAGACCCCUAGGUUCGGGUGAGGACCAUGUUGAUCACCGCGAGCACUCGUAACGUGAACAUUGACCAUCACAACAAUUUAUCCCUAGGACCAUACCAUCAAACUAUUAAUUUUAAGAAUUUCUGUCAUAUCAAUGGUCAAGUUUGUAUGUAUUUAAUUGUAGUAAAAUUUGAGCAUUUAAACUCAUUUUUUACUUAACUUUCAGGUUUUUUUUGUACUAAAUUUAAAUGAAAUGGUAUUUACGGUAUAAAUUAUCGACUUAUAUAUGUGCAAAAAUACAAACUUUGUAAUAUAAAUUCAAAAAUAUAAACUUUGAAAUAUAAAUGCAAAAAUACAAAAGUUGUAAUAUAAAUUAAAUUCAUUAGAGUACAUUGGCUCAAUUUCCACCUGACCACGACGAUUAACCAAUAUGGUAUGUUCGUUACGGGCAUUUACUUUGGCUAUGGCUAGCUAAUCUACAAACGCCACAAAGCUUCCCAUUGGUUUUCUCUCUAAUGGCCAUUUCAUUAUGGAUUCUGGUUGAUUGCAAACUUUUAAGCAACUUUUUGUCUGGGAAAAGCUUAAAAGUCAUCGUAGGCACCUCUCAUGUAGAUAGAUCAAGUAGGACGGGGAACUCAUUUUCCCAAACACGCAACAUGUACUCGAGAGUAUACACCUCAGCGAUAAACUAUUCAACAUUGAGUGAGGCGCGAGCAUAGAUUGUUACGACAUGCACACAGGGAUAAUGAAGUAUCUUGAACCUCCCACAAUCGUAUCGUCUGUUUUAGAGAUCAACUCCAUAAGACCUAGAUGGGAUAUCAGGUUGAGGACCAAUGGUCUCUGUAACUCCAAACGUUUCAAACUGUUGUGAAUAUAAUUCUUACUUCAUUAACCUAUCCCUCCAACAGUUAGCAUCCAUUACAUUCCUAACAUCUUUGACAAACACGUGUCCCGUAUUAAUCUGGUUGACUUGUUUUAGCCUCAUUCUUGGCAUCAAGGUAGCCAACCUGUAGAACUUAGUCGAGAACACAGAUAAAAUUGGAAGAUGUCGUGUGUUUUUCAACACAGAGUUAACCCCCUUUGCCAAGUUGGUGGUCAUAUGACUAUAUCGAAACCCGUCAUUGAAACUUUAAGCCCAUUGCCAUGGCUUUAUGGUACUCAACCUCUAUAAAAAAAGGAGUGUUUGUUUCACCUUGCAUGUCACCUUCAAGUCUGUUUGUAACACCCUUUACCUGUAUCCGCCACCGAAACUAGGUACAAGGCAUUACCAGACUUAAAUUCAAACAAACAUUCGAAAUCGGCGCAUGAAUUUCCACUCAAAUUUAAAACUUUUCAAAAAUGUUCACAUUGUCCCUUAAACAAGCCUACGAGGCCACAAACUUGCAAUAAGAGUGGUUCGGGACUAAACCGAAAAUUUUAGAAAACUUUCCAACACUUAGAAAAUUUUUCAUCGAAACAGGGGUCAUACGCCUAUGUGUGUAACAUCCCAAAUUAAGACCUAGUCAGAACAGUGAUUUUAAGACCACAAAUUCGAGAUAAAAAUAGUUGUUUUAUGAUUUUUAUAAGGUCCAUGAUAGGUAUGCAUGCUUGUGUGAAAAUUUCAUGGAGAAAUUCUAUGCAUACAAUGUCCAAUUGAACUUUAAGGACCAAAUUAAAUAAUAUGCAAAACUUGUGUUCUAGAAGCUUCAAACAUGAAAUUGCUUUAGAUUAUAAAUUAGAAUGUCCUAAUUAGCAAUUUGACCAAUUUCUAAAAUUUUGGACAAAAAUAGACAUGCAUAGGAAAAAUUUGAAAGAAAGGCCUUAAGGGCAUUUUGGUCAAUUAGAAAUAAAAAGAAUAAAAAGGGAAAGUUAAAGCAAAAAUUGGCUUAUCUUCUUCAUGUGGCUGCCGAAAUUCAUAAGCUCUCUAUAGCUAGGUUUUUGACAUUUUCAAGCUCAAUAGUAAGUGUUCCCUAGCCCGUAUUUAAUGUUUUUUACAUUUUUGAAGAUCCCGUAGCUUGAUUUACCUAUUUCCACCUUUAUUUUGAAGUAGGGUUUAUGUUUAAAAAUUUAUCCAUGUGUGACAUGCAUGUUCUUUGGUGUUUAAUGGAGGAAUAUGAUAGCUUGAUGUGUGUUUACAUCUUUUACUAAGUGAUUUUGCAUGAAAACACCUAAAAAGGACUAAAUUGAAAAAGGUAUAAAAUUGAGUGAUAAAAAUCUAUUUUUUAUGAGUAAUGUGGGCUACUAUGAGUACAAGAAAUAUUCGCCUAGGCUUGGGUAGUAAAGGAUAUGAGUAUAUUUCAUUAUACGAGCUUAGGGACUAAUUUGUAUUUCGUGAAAGUUUCGAGGUAAAAUCAUAAUUUUUUUCAAAUUGCAAUUUAUGAACUGAUUUGGGCAAUGUGAUAAUUAAACAAGUGGAAUUUGCUAUUAUAGAUCAAGAAAAAUGGAGUCCGGACCUAAACUAAGGGAAAAGCAAGGUUUUGGACUAAAACGUAAAGUUAGCAAUAUUUUGGGACCGAGGUAAGUUGUGUGUAAGUAAUUCAACAAUUUCAUUAUUCUGGAUUUAAUGCUUGAUGUUAUAUGAAAUGUGUGUGUAUGCCCUUAUGGAAUUUGACUUGAAAUGAUUCAAUAAAAAUUUAAUAAUAGCUUUGUAUCUCGGAAAUCUUAGGUGACCCUAAGGAAUACUCAAGAUUUGGAUGUCAUUACACCAUGAUUAAUGAGAUCUCGUGUAAGACCAUGUCUGGGACAUGGCAUUGGCAUCGAUACGAGAUCACGUGUAAGACCAUAUUCGAGAUAUGGCUUCGGCAUUGUUAAGUGAUUUCGUAUAAGACCAUGUCUGGGACAUGGCAUCGAAAUAAGGUGCCGUAUAAGACCAUGUUUGAGACAUGGCGUCGGCACUGAUUCGAGACUUCGUAUAAGACCAUAUCUAGGAUAUGGCAUCGAUGUGUGGUCCCAUGUAAGACCAUGCCUAGGACAUGUCUUUGGCACCCUAUUUGGUGUAUGAUAAUCCCGAACGCCCUUCCGUAUUCCAAGUGGCUCAACGGGCGAUUCAAGAUCAAGGUUAAGAGAUGGAGAAAUAUGAAUAAGUUAUGAGUAGUACAGGUAUGUAUGUAAACCUCAUGAGUAUGGAAUUUGAUUCUUGAUGGAAAAUUUAGCAUGAGUAAGAAUGAAUAAGAUAAGUUGUGAAGUUCAAUGACAUUUAUUGUCAAUUCUUAGUAUGUCCAUUGUGUGUAAAUUGAUAAUGUGGUGGUAAUUAGUAGCAUGUUUCACUCAUGAAAUUGUAUGAUCUAUGUUGUUUAUUAGUUACAUACAACUUACUAAGCUUUAUGCUUACCCCCUCUCUCUUUCCCUUUUUCUUAGCAUCGCCAAGCUAGUUCGGGGAUUGUGGACGUCGGAGCUCAAGUCACACUAUCAACAAAUAUUUUAAGGUAUAUUUGGUUUAAUACAUUUAAAUAUGGCAUGUAUAGGGGACUUAUUAUUUUGUUAUACAUGUCAUAUUGGUUGGCCAAAGUGAUGGCCCAUAUUGGUAUAUUAAUUCAUUUUAUACAUGGCCAUGAAGUAUGGCUCAUAUUGAUUAUUGUGUUGUAAUCCUAGAUACUGAUGCAUGCGUGAGAUGUGUUGAUACCCUUAAGGUGUGUGUUAAGUUGGUUGUUGGCAAUGAAUGAUAAAAUAUGGAAUCUAUGCUUGAUGGAUGAUUGAUGUACCUGGUUAGGUUAUAGCAUGGUUUAAAGUAAGGAAAUGUUUUGAAUGAUCCUAGUAAGUUAUGGAGUCCCAAAUAUAUAUACUUUAGCAUGUAAUUGUUAUGCAUGAGUUAAAACUAUGGAUGUUUAAGUAAGCUAUUUAUGCCAUAAUAUUCACCAUUGGCAUAUGAGGGUGUGCAUUUGUUAGUGAGGGUGACAAAAGGGCUUGGAAAAUAGUCUCAAAGUUGUCCACACGUAGACACACAGGCAUGUGUCUAGGCCCUGUGUGACACACGGUCAGCCCUAUGGGCGUGUUGUCCGGCCAUGUGUCCCUACACCUUAGAUUUGCAAGUUAGUAUGCAUGGUAGUAAACACACGGGUAGAGACACGGCUGUGUGUCUCAACCGUGUGGAAGACAUGGCCUCAGGACAUGGGCCUUUGCCCGGACCAUAUGAAGUCUGAACCUUAAAUGCGAAACUUAAAUUCGCCACACGGCCUCGCACACGAGCGUGUGACUUAGCCAUGUGACCUCUAAUUUAUGCUGACGUCAUAAAUAGAGAGUUACAUGGGUUGAGGACAUGGACAUGUCCUAGCCACACGAGCGUGUGAAAAUCACACGGCCUACCCACACAGGCGUGUGAUUCUCCAAACUUGGGGAAUUUAAGUAUUGUAAAAUUUUUAGAAGUUCUCUAUUUAGUCCCAAAUUGCCCUUGAAGCAUGUUAAAGGCCAUGUGGGGCGUAGAAGGGACAUUGUGUUUAUCUUUGAAUGUUUUUAAGAUUGGAUCAAAUUUUUAUGGCUCGGUUUGUGUUAAAUUGUGUGAAAGAUCGAUAAUGCCUCGUACCUUGUUCUGACAUAGGAUACGGGUAAGGGGUGUUACAGUGUGGAUAGGCCGUGUGGUCACACAUGCCCGUGUCCCUAACCCGUGUAACUCUCUAUUUAUGACAUCAUCAACAAAUUGAAGUCACAUGGCCAAGUCACACGCCCAUGUAUCUAGUCUGUGUGGGUGAUUUAAUUUUCCUAAUUUUUCCUAAAAUAGGUGCAGACUUCAUACGCCCUGGGCACAUGCCCAUGUCCCUGGGUUGUGUCCUUCACAUAGCUAAGACACAAGGUCGUGUCUUUGCCAGUGUGUCCAAUUCGAAGCUAAAAUUCAAAUUUUUGGGGACACACGGCCGGAUCACACACCCAUAGGGCAAGCCGUGUGUCCGUGUGCCACACACGACUUAGACACACGCCCGUGUGUCUACCUGUGUGGACAAAAAUAAAGCUAUUUACCAAGCCAUUUUGCCACCCUUUCUUGCACCAACCUACACAACCAUAAGAAACACAACUCCAAGCAUAUUCAUACAACCAAUUCAGCCAUCAACAAGAUAUCAACGCAUUAUUUACAUGAAACCAUCUACCACAUACAAACAUCACCUAUUUAUCAAAUCAAUCCAUGCAAAUUCACACAUCCAUGAAAUCAUCAUCUUAUGCAUAUAUAUAUACUUAAGCCAAUUUUAGCCAAUUUCAAUGGCCAUUUACAAAAUGAAUUAUCAAAUAACAUAAGCCAACACUUUUGGCCAACUCAACUAUGACACAUAACAAAAAAACCAAGUCCCUAUACAUGCCAUAGCUCAAACUAUUAUAAUCAUAAGUACCCAAAAUGAUAAUUUGAUAGUGUGGAUGUAACUCCAACCGUCUUCGAUCACUGAGCUGGCUUGGUGAUACUUUUGCCCCUAAACUUUGACAUAUUUACAUUUUUGUCCCUAGGCUCGUAAAAUGAAAUGUAUUCAAUUUUUUUGUUACCCAAGCCUAGAAAAAACAUAUACAUGCUCAUAUCAUCCCACAUUUUUCAUCAAAUCAGACUUUUACUACCCAUUUUACAACUUUUUUAUAAAUAGGUCCUUUUUUGGAGUUUUCAUGGAAAUUCACUUAUUAAAAGUUGUUUAUUACACAACAAACUUUUAUUUUCUACCAUUAAACAUCAAAACACAUGCAUUUCAUACAUGGGUACAAUUUCAAACAUGGACUCUACUUCAAAAUAGUGGUAGAAAUGGAAAGAUCGGGUGCAUACGACUUCAAAAACGUAAAGAACACUAAAAACGGGGCUAGGAUGCACUUACUAUCAAGCUUGAAAGUUGAAGAAACCCUACAUAUGGAGAGCUUGAGAAUUUCAGCUAUGGUGAAGAAGAUGGACACCAAUUUUGACUUUAUUUUCCCUUUUUAUUCUUUUAUUUACCAAAUGAUCAAAAUGCCCUUUUCACCUUUCUUUAAAAUUUUAUCUCUCCAUGUCCAUUUUUGCCAAAUAACUUAACAAUUGGUCUAACUAUCAUCUAAGGACCUCUAAUUUAAAAUCUCAUAGUAAUUGGACACCUCUAGCAUGUAGAACUCAACUUUUGCACUUUUUUCCUUUUGACUAAAUUGAGUGACCAAAUGUCAAAAUUUCUGACCGAAAUUUUCACGAAAUUAUUCCGUAAAAUUUUAGACCAUAAAAAUAUAAUAAAAAUAAAUUUUACUGCGUCGGAUUUGUGGUCCCGAAAUCACUGUUCUGACUAGCCCUAAAAUCGAGUUGUUACACUGGUCAUUCUUUGCCGAAAAAUGUGUGGUUCUAACUCGUACGUUGUGUAUGUAUUAAGAAAAGACAAUUUUCAAUCUCGAAUUAAUUUGUUCAAGUAUUGAUAAUAUUAAAACAUAUAUUGAAACUAAAUUUUACCCAUUUUCACAACUUGUCUCCGCAAGUCUGCAUUCUUAUACUCUCGGUGAAAGUUAGUCACGAUGUGCCAUAUACAACAACUGAUCUCCAUGGUACACCAGAAACACCUAAUGGUGAUAAUUAUUCCCUUCUCUCUAUAAAAAAUGAUGAAAAUAUUAUUGUCACUUAUAAGAUACCUUAGUAGGUUAGUGAGGAAAAAUUCUUAUGAUUCCAUGUUCUCCUUGUCCAAAAUAGAAAAUGCUAUCGCAUGCAAGUUCUUGUUCCCGUCUUGAGCAAUUGUAAUAAGUAGGAUUUGCGUAUAUUUCCCGUAUGGUUAGGUCCCAUCUACUUGCACAAGUAGUUUGCAGUGGGAAAUACACGCAUGCAUAGAUCAAACAUCUAAAACAUUCAAUGGAAAAUUCUUCUUCCUGGUUGUAGUUGGUCAUCUAGGCUGUAAUAAGGUCGUGUCUCCAACUACUCGGCACAUGCUUCCGCAUUGCAACUACCCACCCUUGUAGCUCAUUGUACGAUGCAUCACAAUCUCCGUACAGCUGCUCCGUUGCCAUCUGUUUUGCUAUCCAUGCUUUCUAGUAUGAUACUCGAUACUGGAAUCGUGCUUGCAUUUUGCCUAUCAGUACCAAAACUUUAAUGGUUGGCAUGUCCUUCACCGUUGGCAUGAUGCAUGUGCAAAUAGUUUUGGAAUCAAGUUUUCAAUGGUCUUUUGUCAUACAUGUUGAAAUGCAUGUGUGAGGCCCAACAAAUUUUAGUAUCUCCCACAUUUGUGAGUUUUGGAUAAAUGCGGCUUCUACCGACCAAUUGUAGCCUUCCGCCGACCUCCAACACUCCCUAAUAUACAAUGUUAGUUUAGACACGGCAACUUUGUAGUCUACUAACACAUUCAUGCUAUACUGCUUAAUGGAAAAUACGCACUCUUCCUUGGUUUCAAAUUUUUGACCCACGAAAAACUCCUCAGGUUCAGAAUCUACGGCCAACUAGUGAGCAGAUAGUAUAUCAGGAUACUCCGAGAACUUGAUUGGAUGCGUCGCAUCGAGGUCUAUCAGCAACAUGUGUGCCUCAGAAUCAUAGCAUACCACAAUGCAUCGAACCAGGUUCUUGACUGAAGACUCGUUAACAUUGCCAUCGUUAUUCACACCUUCGUCGUCGAUAUCAUCAGGGACCUUGUCCAUAUCGAGAUCACUAUCACCAUCAACCUCAUGAUCAGAAGGAUCACUAUUAUCAUAUCUAUCAUCAGCAUCCGUAUCAGUCUCAGGUACAGCAUUAAGAUUGAUGUCGAACUUGCGUACAGUCGAUUGACAAUCAACAUAGGAUAUCGGAACAACCAUAAACCGAUAUUAAACUCUAUGUUCUUCACAUAAUAGAGUGGGAUCUUCAGCUGGCUCCACAUCAGCUAAAUCAGCAAAUAACUGAAUCAGUGUAUUUUGGUGGCUCUAAUUCCCACAAUAAAGAGUGACCAUUGUCUCCACGUCUUCAUCAUUUACAAGUUCAAUCUCGGUGAAUUUGAUGGAAUCUGUCAAAACUGGAAACUUGUAAAAAUGUUUCCAAAUCCUUCUCCCACAAUGUCUAACAAUUUUUGCACUAAUCAUUUCCUUCAUAUCAUCAAUCGAGACAUUUCUAUUAAAUCUCAUUGCUAUUUGUUGGUGUCAUUCAAAUAUACAUCCAACUGUUGUUGUUAAAAUUACUCCAUCAAAAUAAACACAUGAAAAAUUGAUUAUCCAUUUUCAAUAUUAGAUCUGUUAAAAAAGAAAUAAAAAUUCUCAAUUUCAAGCAAAAUAAUUAAUGUAAUGUAAAAUAUGAAUUUUAUAUCUACUAACCUAGUGAAUUCUUCUUUGUUUGUUUACUAUUCUUCUACAGAUUUUUCUUUUUUUGUUAUUUGAAUUCUCAAAACUUUUUUCCCAAACACUGUUUAAAUAAUGGCUAAGAACUGGUGCUACCCACAAGAUUGGCACCACUAGUGUCGCCUAUAACAUUGGAACCAAUACUUUGGUGUCACCUUUCCCAUGGGCACCACUCCUUGGUGCUGCCUUCCUAUGGGCACCACCACUAAAACUUGUCCCAAGCCCGUAUUUAACCCAUGUAUUGGAAUUGUAUGGGAAAAAUACUUUGGUGUUGUCUAUCAACAAGGAUGCACCAUUAAAAAUUUAUUUUUUUAGCUGAAAGUGAUGGGUGUCAAAAUAUAGGGGUGAUGCUGCCUAUGCACCACCCUCCACCACCCUUGGUAUACCAUUUCCAUAAAUAAUUCAACUGGAAUACCUUUUGGAAAAUUUUUAAUUUAAUUUAUAUUAUUUAAAAAAAACCCAUUUUUGAGCAUAAUCACUACAAUCUCUUUCCAUGGUCGCCUAGAAAUACACAACCCUCAUGAUUUGUCUAGCCAUCAUAUGUCCAUUUGCGGGUGCACCAUAUACCUUAUCAUGUACUUCUUCUAAUAUUCUUUGAGCUUUCUUAGAAUCUACCCAUCUCAAUAGGAUAUGAUCUUGAUCUUUUUAUAUAACCCCUCACCAUCUAAGAAGAAACUGAUAUAUAGUCUUUUUGAUAAUCUGCUUAUCAUUUGCAUAAGCAUAUUCAGGGAAUUUCUGAAAUUUCAAGUAUUUCACAAUAUAAUAAAACUAUGGUAGUCCAUCUACUUCUUCUUCAGUGUCGGGGCAAUGAACAAACAUUCUUUUAAUUUCCAAUUUGGAUUGUCGCACCUUUACUUCACAGUUCAAUUUAUGUGCUCUUUCUUACUUAUCUCAUUUUGCUGUCGUGCGCCGCAUCGCAUUGAUCUCCCGAACACCACUAAUUAUAAGAUUAAGACCUUCCUCACACAGGAAGGAUUAAAAUUGGUGGCUUAUAUAAGUAUUUCUUAACUUUCUUCAGCCCGCUCACCACUAUCAUCCUUUCCAAGUAAUUUAAAUAAUGGAUCACAUUUCAACGUUAAUUGUGGACUCAAAUGAGAGAUAUAAUUUAAAAGUUUAAAAAAAAAAAAACCUCCUCAUAAGCAAACUAAAAUUUUAAAAUCCUACUGUAGUACUAUGGGGAGCGGUAUAUUUAAAGCAUAUUUAGUUGAACCCUCCGCCAGCCAAAAUUCCCUCCAAAAUUUCACCUAGAAUGAAUUUGUGAAAUUGGGAUUCUCUUCCCUUGGCAUCCCAAAAUGCGAACUCUAACCCUUUCCAACAUCCUCCACCAGCACUUCCCUGAUGCUCUCCAUUUUUCGCUUCUCAAAUCCUCCAAAACCCAACAAGAAACCCAACAGCUUCACGCAUUUUCCCUCAAAACCGGCGUUUUCUCUCACCCCUCACUCUCUUCUCGUCUCCUUUCUCUCUAUGCUGACCCCAACAUCAACAACCUCCGCUACGCUCGCUCCGUUUUCGAUCAAAUCCAACACCCCUCGUUGGUUCUCUGGAAUAUCAUCCUCAAAUGCUACAUACAAAACCAACAAUCCCAUGAAGCUAUCUACCUGUUCGUCCUUCUGCUUGGUCAUUUUCCGCCUGAUGAAUUCACGUUUCCUUGUGUGAUUAAGGCAUGUGCUAAGUUAACAGCUUUGAAAGAAGGCAAACAAAUACAUGGGCUGGUUUUGAAGCUUGGUUUCGGAUUAGAUAAAUUUGUGCAGGCUAGUUUGGUUAAUUUGUAUUCCAAGUGCGGCGAGAUUGGUUCUGCUUACGCAGUGUUUGAUCAAAUGGAUGAGAAAGAUUUGGUUUCAUGGAAUUCUUUGUUUGACGGGUAUGCAAGGUGUGGAGAAGUUAAGGCUGCCAUGAAGGUGUUUGAUGAAAUGCCUGAAAAGGAUUGUUUUUCAUGGACAGUUUUGAUUGAUGGGUUGGCGAAAUCUGGGGAGGUUGAGACUGCUAGAAAGAUAUUCGAGAACAUGCCAAAUAGGAAUUUAGUUUCGUGGAAUACUAUGAUUAAUGGGUAUAUGAAAGCUGGAGAUACUAAUUCCGCUUGUAAAUUGUUUGAUCAAAUGCCCACAAGAAAUUUGAUCACGUGGAAUUCAAUGAUAGGAGGAUUCAAAUUGAACUUGCGCUUUUUGGAAGCUUUGGAAAUGUUUGAGAGAAUGUUGGAGGAGGAAUUUAGGCCCACUCACGCUACGUUAGUUAGUGUGAUUUCUGCUGUCUCUGGAUUAGCUAGUCUUGGCACGGGAAGAUUGAUACAUUCGUAUAUUGUUAAAAAUGGAAUCGAAUUAGAUGGGGUGGUUGGGACAGUGCUCAUCGAAAUGUAUUCCAAGUGCGGAGGCAUUGAUAGUGCGGUAACUGUUUUUCGGACAAUAAGCCACAAAAAGUUGGGGCAUUGGACUGCUAUAAUCGUAGGCUUGAGUAUUCAUGGCAUGGCUGACCAUGCUCUGAAGCUAUUUCUUGAAAUGCGCAGAAUUGGUGUGAAGGCUAAUGCUAUAACUUUUGUUGGUGUGCUUAAUGCUUGUAGUCAUGUUGGAUUGAUUAACGAUGGUCACAAAUAUUUUAAUAUGAUGGUAAAUGAAUAUGGAAUUAAACCUACUAUAGAACAUUAUGGUUGUUUGGUGGACAUAUUAUGUCGAGCUGGUUGUCUUGAAGAAGCAAAAGAUAUCAUUGAAGAAAUGCCCAUGAGACCAAACAAAGUAAUCUGGAUGACAUUGCUUAGUGGUGCUAGGAACCAUAGAAACACAAAAAUAGGUGAAUAUGCUGCUCAACAUUUGAUUGAAUUGGCUCCAGAGACUACUGGUGGUUAUGUUGUCCUUUCUAAUAUGUACGCUGUAGCAGGUGAGUGGGAGAAAGUUUCUGAGGUAAGAGAAAUGAUGAAGAAGAGAGGAUUAAGAAAAGAUCCCGGCUGCAGUUCAAUAGAGCAUAAAGGUGUGGUUCAUAACUUUAUUGUGGGAGAUAAAUCACAUCCGCAAACAAAAGAAAUUUAUUCCAAAUUGGCUGAGAUGAGAGAGAAGUUGAAAUUGGCAGGACAUGUUCCUGACACAAGCCAAGUGUUGUUGUAUAUCGAAGAGGAGGAAGAGAAAGAAGCAGAAUUGGAAAACCAUAGUGAGAGGUUGGCUAUUGCCUUUGGUCUCAUCAAUACUGAAGCUGGAUGUCCCAUUCGCAUCAUGAAGAACCUCCGUGUUUGUAGUGAUUGCCAUUCCGUCACUAAACUGCUUUCUAAAAUCUAUAGUCGUGAGAUUAUUGUGAGAGAUAAUAGCCGGUUUCAUCAUUUUAAAGAUGGAUUGUGUUCGUGCAAAGAUUUUUGGUGAUUACCUCAGCUGUUGGCUGGUAUUAUUGCCAUCUUUCAACAGGACUGAAAGGGAAAACCCUCAUGAUAACUUUAAGGUCUUCGGGUUGUGUUUUGUCAUCACUUUUGAGGGUUUAUAGAAAUGGCUAGAUAUGUUUCUUGCGCUUUAUUUAUAUCAACUAACUGAACCAGCCUCUUACGACAAAAUAAAACAUUUGCUUUAUGAUCUCAUCUCAUUUCAAGAAAGUUGCUAUUUCAGGGAAAAAGGAUAUGGAUUUAAUGAUACAACAACUCAAAAGACUAGCAGUGAAUUACAUCAGUACACAGCAACAGAUGCUACAUAGCAAUUAAUGUUACAGCUUUCAGAGACGUAUCUAUAACCUAAGUUCAUUUUCCGGGGACAAAGUUAGUGGCAUAAGCCCAUGCAUUGUUGGCCACCGGAUCGGCAAGGUGGUCAAAGAGGUUCUCAAUGGGACCCUUUCCUGUGACAAUAGCCUGGACAAAGAAUCCAAACAUGGAGAACAUUGCAAGGCGGCCAUUCUUGAUCUCCUUAACCUUCAAUUCUGCAAACGCAUCAGGAUCAUCAGCCAGUCCAAGUGGGUCGAAAGCACCACCUGGGUAAAUUGGGUCCAGUCCUUCACCAAGUGGUCCCCCACCAACUCUGUAUCCUUCAACAAAUCCCAUGAGCACAACUUGGCAAGCCCAGAUUGCAAGAAUGCUCUGAGCAUGGAUAAGGUUUGGGUUGCCAAGAUAGUCAAGGCCGCCCUCGGAGAAUAUUUGAGAUCCAGCUUUGAACCAAACUGCCUCUCCGAACUUAACUCCAUUCUUUGAAAGAAUUUCAGGGAAGACACAACCAAGGGCACCAAGCAUUGCCCAUCUGCAGUGGAUCACUUCAAGCUCACGGUUCUUAGCAAAUGUCUCAGGGUCAGCUGAUAACCCAGCAGUGUCCCACCCAUAGUUACCAGGGAAUUCACCUGUCAGGUAUGAUGGGAUUUGGUCUGAGAAUGGACCCAAGUACUUUGGGCGGUCAGGGCCAUACCUGUUUUUAAAACCAAACCGUAGGUAAUCAGAUCAAGAUGCAGAAAUAUAGUUCAGUUGCAUGAUUUCACUUGUACAUGUUAUUUCUCUUUAAAUGUAUUGUUUAAAAUAAGGCAGAUUGCUGCUAGAAUGUACUGUACAAAUUGAAUUUUUUACAGUCUGUUGUUUCACAAUAUUUGGGUUAACCAUCAAUGAUUAGACUGAAAAGAUCCUUAUAACAAAAUGCUACUAGUUAGUACUAGGAAGUAGUAACAAGAGUAUACCAG
RNAcentral lists this long non-coding RNA (58416 nucleotides) under Gossypium barbadense (sea-island cotton). Its description in RNAcentral is "long non-coding RNA (GBAR_LNC006521)". The record is from RNAcentral. Lineage: Eukaryota; Viridiplantae; Streptophyta; Magnoliopsida; Malvales; Malvaceae.